RNAcentral lists this long non-coding RNA (49463 nucleotides) under Gossypium barbadense (sea-island cotton). RNAcentral's name for it is "long non-coding RNA (GBAR_LNC008358)". Lineage: Eukaryota; Viridiplantae; Streptophyta; Magnoliopsida; Malvales; Malvaceae. The record is from RNAcentral.
ACAAAAAAAGUGCUCACCAGAGAGAUGUAAAGUGCAAUAUGUAUGAGUUUUUGUACUUGCCCAUGUAUACAAAUAAAAGGAUAAGCUUAAGAUAUGUAAUCGUGACAUCAAAAUCUAAAAAGAGGUCUACUUUAUCUUAUAAAACAUACCAAACUUUCUUAUUUUUUGUUGGUCAAUAUACAUGGUUUCUUUUUGGUCCCACAUUUGUUGUUUAACACUCAAACAUCAAGAAGUUGAGAGUUUGAUAUUAUCCCUUUCAUACUAGUAAAGGUAUAGUUAAUAAAAAAUCUGAAAAUAAAUAAUAGUAGAGAGAAUUACAAUCAUGCAGACUUCUACCAACUAUUGACUUAAAAAAACACAAUUACACAAUAGGCGUGUGCUUGAUCAAAUAUGUCUUGUCUGAAAGGAUCUGAGGCAUUCAUGUUGUCUGGUGCUAAGACAAAGGCCCCAGGAGCACCUAGGCACAUGCCUUAACAACACUGAACUUGACCUCAGCCUCAACAGUUCGAAUGCAAUAAAAGGGGUUUUUUUUCAUAUGCUUAAAACAAACUAUGUGAGUGUAACCAGUUACAACUCGUUUCCUACAAUUGGAAGAGUAAAACUUGACACACACCUGAAUAUUAGUCAUUGUGGGAGAUGCGACUUUCUUAGGUUCUGCUGUUGGGAUAACAAACUUGUAUCUGCAAUUAUUACACAAUAAGAGUUGAAAAUGAUGUGAAUAACUACAAAACAGGGCUAUUUUCUUACCAAUCUCAACAGAGAAAUGAGCCAGAGAAUACGAAGGGCAAACAAACAUUAGAGGUAGAGUCAUGUUUAUUCAUAAAUACACAAACAUGGUAAAAGAAACAACAGAAAGACUAAACCAGGAAAAAUGCAGAAAGAUUAAUGUAGGACCCCCAUUUCGUUCACAAGUGCAUUGCUUGUUCUCACCUUCACCUCAGAAAAUGAUCAUUCUAACUUAAUUAAAAAUAGGGGGUAAUAUGUUCUCUCCCUCAAUAAAAGCAGAUUAGACCCAUUUCCUAAUACCAAAUGGGCAUCAUUACAGAAAAAUUUGAUAGUGUCAUGUCCCCGUAGACUUUUGCUGAAACAGUUUCAAAAGAAAGCUUAUUACAAGAGAAAACCAAAAAAACAUUUAUUUCAUUUUGCAAAACCCUUUCCAGCUUCCCAGAGAAAUAACUGGCAGAUCAGAAGCAUGUGCUUUUCCAGUUAAGGUAAAAGUGUCAUGAAAACCACUCAUGAGAAAACAAACUGAACAGAUCAUGGGACAAGCUUUUAAGAACAAGAGAACCCAAUUUUUGAAAUGAUAACAGAAAGCUAUCAACUGACCCGCCAGUAGUUGCAGUAGCAGGCUGACCCAUCAAAUCAUUCUUCUUGAUAUCAGCCAACACAGUAUCAAUUUCAUCGUUCUCAAAAGCAAAAUAGACAGGAUACUGCAGUAGAAAAAUCCCACGAUAAAGUUAAGAAUGUGAAGCAUAAAGUAAACAAAAGAGAAUCAAGAGGAGACUAGUAGAAAAAUUUUCUCUCUUUUCUGGCAGUUUUUCCCUUAUAAAUGACAAGUAGCAAAUACUAAGUUUGGAAUCAAAAAAACCUUAUUAGCUGGAUUUCAAUUCUAAAAAUCAUAUGAGAACUUAGAAAUAGAGUAGUAAAAGUGUCUGCCCUAGCUAAGCACAAGUGGAACGCAGAUUGAUGGCGUGCUUCAGGAAACCAAUGAGGAUGAGGCCUAAGUAUAUACCAUGGUAUAAAUACUUUCCGAAGAAAGAGUCUUACUGAAGAUGCUAGCAAUAAAAAAGUAGGCUCAAAUCCUAAAUAUUUAUUGGUGUCUAAGUUAUCAAUAAGCAUGUGUCAGAAGAAAUUUCAUGGUUUAUGCUAUUUGCCAAUCAUUCAAUUACUUGAUAACAGACUACAGGCAUUCUUUCAAGAUGGAAGCAUGGAUCAUGAAUGUGGAACCUAAAUCUUUUAGACUCAGCAGGUUUUUUGGAACAAAAACUGAAUAAUUCAAACAAGGUAUAAAUUGAAUUCGAUAAAGAUGAAAAUGUCAGUGUAAAUAGCAACGAUGCAGUAACAUAUAUGAUGUACACGAAAAAGAAAUGCAUUAAGUCAAAAGAUGAUGACAACAUGAAGGGAAAGUCAUUAAUACAAUUCCUAUCAGUAAACAAGGGCCCAUAAAUGUCGCAACACAAUUAGAACAUGCCAAUUGUGAAGUUAAUGAAUUAUAACAUAAAGGAAAAGACAUUAAACACGAUUCAGUCUCAAGCAACAAAAAGCAAUACUUGUGAACUGUCAGAUUAACAGAGUUCAGAUCUUGCUGAAAAUUAGGUUGGCAACAAGGAGACUUCAAUCUCAAUACAAAGUAACUACUGCAAAAUUGAUCUGAAACGUAUAUCAAAAUAGAGAUAUUAAUAUGUCUCUAUAUACUCACAGGUAUAUUUGAAUGUAUAAGCAAUCGCUCGAGCUCUGCCAAUAAAUUUUUCAUUUUCUCUUUUUCAUGAACUUGGUUAUUCCCUCCAGUUUUAAAGCUAAGUACUUCAGGAAGCAAAACUAAGAAUCCUCCCAACGGCUUUUUUUGAUUGAUAUAUUCUGCCAAUAAAAAAAUAAAGGAAAUUAAAAUAAAGAACUAAAAGUAGAGAGAAGUUAAAUUGAUGAAAUGAAAGUGAACCUCGAACGAAAGUGAUAUUCAGUUCACGUAGAGGGAUGAUGAGAACGGUUCUGGAAAGAUCGACACCGGGAGGGAAAUGCAAGGAGGCCGCGUGAUGGUUGAGGGCGGCGAAUCGAGAUCCGAAAGGUGAACCGGACCUGUCGUAUUGGAUUAGACGGUAGACGUCGAAGGCAGCGGCGGCGUCGCAGAGUUCGACGCAGGCUACUAAAAUGAAGAGCAGAGCGAUGACGGAGUACAUCGAUUCCAGCAUCUCGCGGAGACCGCCCGGUUUCUUUGAAUUGGCCAUCGGAGGGAAGAUGGGCGACGAUUGAAUCUAGGGUUUGGAUAGAGUAAAAAUGAGAAUUUGGGGUUUAUCUUUCUUUUUGGUGUUUGUUUAAUGGAGUGGAGCUGAUUCCAUCAUGUCGCUGAAUUGUCAGCUUAGCAGUGAGAUUAUACAUAAAAAGUGCAUGGCAAAUGAUUUUUUAAAAUUCUUAUUAUUUAUAAUACCACAUCAUUAUUAUAAAUAAAUAAAUCAUUUAACUUCAACUUUUUAUUUAUGGAAAAUUUUGUACGAAAAUAUUAAGUUAGAUUUUAUUUUAUUAAAAAUUUUAAAAUAAAUUAUUAUUUUUUAUAAAAAGAAAAUAAAAUAAUCAAAUUAUCAUAUGAAUCUUUUAUCUAAAAUUAUUUAUAACAAUAUAAAAUAUUAUAUUAAUAUAAUUAAAAUUUAAAAUUAAAUAAUAUUUUAAAAUUAAUAUUUAUUUUUAUUAAAUAAUAUAAUUAUAUUCGGUAUUAAUAUAUACUAAUUUAUCAAAUAAUUUUUUAAUAAAAUUUUACAUUUAUAAUUUUAACACUUAAAAUUUUAAUUUAUGAAAUAUAUCCUUAAUUUAAUAUUAUUGUUAAAAAUUUUGAAUUUAAAAAAAAGAGUUUAAAUUGAAUAUCUUUUCACUUUUCAUAUAAAUCACAAAUUAUUUACCUUUUAUUUGGAUUCUAAAUUAUGAUUUUUAUAAGUUAUUAUUGUUAUAAUAAAACGUAAUUUUAAUUAAAAAAUUACGUUAACAAAAAUGAUAAACAAAUUUUAGCUGAAGAUUAGUGUUAACGAGGAUUCCAUCAGUUAGUACGAGAGAGAGAGAAAUGGAGAAACACUAUGAGAUAAAAAAUUACCAAUUAUUAGUUUUGGUUUGGUCUGUUUAAAUUUAAAAAUAAAUUUUUAAUUUUAAUUUUAAUUUAAUAUAAUAUAAUAUAAUUUGGUCCAUUAUUAUAGUGUCUUUGUUUAGUUUAAAUAAUUAAAUUUAUUAAUUUUAAUUAAAAUGCUCCCUUUUAUUUUUACUAAAAGCAUCAUUUCUAGUAAAAAAAUUAUGUCGACGUCAUCAUCAAUUGAAAUAUUUGUUUUUAAUUAGAAUAGUUAAUUGGAUUAAUUAUAUUAUAAAUUUAAGAGGGUUGAAUUAAAAAAACUAAAUCACAAAUUAGAUAAUGGUAAAAGGACCAAAAUCCAGAUUUAACCUAAAAUCUUAAAAAGGGGGUCAUUUGUUUCUCAUCAUACUCAGCAGCUGCCCAUUGAAGACUAGCGGUAGGUUGGUGGCAUCAAGGAUUUGGCUUUUUGCUUCAACCUUGGAAAUGGAUUCCAUGCUUUUUGUUUUUCAUUUGCCUGCAAAAUCUGAAAUAAAUACAUAAUGUGUAUCUACCACAAAUACCAAAUUUAGGUUCAAAUGGAAACUGUUCGAACAAAUUUUGUUGAAGAGUAUUUUGUGCAAUUUGAUUAUUCAACCUUUUGUAUCGUAUAAUAUCUUUAAAAUAUGAAAAUUGGAAUAUUUUUUGGAUAAAUAUCGACAGGUUAAUUGACACCACUUUAAAAUUUGUUUAUUUUUUCUAAUAAAAUAAUGUGUUACUGAUUAGGGGUAUUUUUUAGGUGACGUCAUCAUUAUGUCAGGUGAUAUUAUGAUUUAUAGUAGAAGACAAUCCAUUUUCGCAAAUAAUUUCUUUCCAUACCAUUUUCGCAUUUAUUUUUUAAAAUUAUCCUAACAAAUUUCCUUAAAAAGUCAAACAUUAAUAAAACUUCAAGUUGUAUAUUAACUGUAUUUUUCUUCUUUUAAAAAAUACAUUGAUAACACAAUAUUCAAUCAAACAACACAAAGUGCAUGCCUGAUUAAAAUCAUAUAUAUAUAUGAAUGAUCUUGGUUAUAAUUAUACAUUUAACACAAAGUCCAUUUCCACAUAUACUCUCCACCAACUCACUCGAAACAUCAUACAAUCGCACUACCUCCAAAUGGGUUAGAUGUAUGGCAAUCGCUUUAACUCCUUGCAUCUCAAGGCAGCCGGUUCUUUAAGGUCAAGCAUCGCAUCAUUCUUUACCACAAUCUCUUUUAGCUGAGGGAGUCAAUAUAAAUACUGAAGCUUUUUGGACUCUUCAACCAAACAUAAGCGCUCACCCACAAAUGCAUUAAUCCAAAUAUCAAGUUGCAACAAACUAGGCAAAUGCCUGGAUGUGAGAAACUACAUCUUCCUCCAGUUCAGACAACUGUAGGUUCAAGCAUUUGAGGUUGAGUAAGGUGCAAAAGCUGGCACUUUUCCUAAUUUCCCACCUAGACUAAGCCUCUCAAGGUAAGGAGGAGCGGAUAAAAGAGCAUCCUUCUUAAGUGCAGCUUGUGGCCAUAAGUGACGAAGGCGUUCCAUUCUUUGAAUAAAGAAGCACAAAAUGUCCUCAUCGGCUUCUCUCAAUUCAUCAAGCCCAAGCCUUGAAUUGUUCCAUUUCUUGAAGUAACAAGACGCUUGUUGUUCAGAUUAUGGAUACAACUUGCAAACCCUUUAUCAUAAAAAUAUUUAGGAGUACAACUAAGCUCGAAAAUUUCAUAAGGUUGUUAUUCAGUCACUCUUUGCCAAAUAGGUUGCACUUAGAUGCCUCAAAUUUUGCAUCUUCACUGGAAGCUUCUCAAUUUUAGUAUACUUAGGGAAUAAGGACUGCAAGUUAAAAAGUUUACCUGUGGACUUUGGGAGCACCUUCAGUUGAGAUAAAUUAAAUAAAUGUCCAAACUCACUAUGUAUUGGAGCAUUUUCCUUUUCUUUUUUUUUUUUGAAAGUCUUCAGACUGGGCUUAUUAUUAAAAAUAAAUAAAAUACACAGUAUUAACCCAAAACACAUAGCAGAAAAUCAAUAAAAACAGAUAAAAUAACCGGCCUGGAACUAAAGUGGCCCAAAACCUAAAUAGAAAAUAUCUAGAUAUUUUCUGAAUAGUCUAGAAUGCUAAUUAAAUGUGCGUAAUCAAUGCCCAGUCAGAAAAUGCUAUGAAUCGUCUUGUCAUCUAAGUACCAUUUUUGCUUUUUCUUUCUAACGAUUCAUUUCUAACCCAUCAAGUACAGCAAUAUAGUUGUUUAUGAAGUCUACUAGUUGCUGCCCUGUACUGUUUUUCUGUUCAUGUAUUAUUCUGUUUCUUUCUCCCCAUAUAGUCCACAAUCCACAACAGAAAAGACAACUCUGAUGCGAAGAAAGCUAGUCAAAGAUGCAGGUAAUCCAUUGUAGAAAAUCCAUAUAAAGCUCCCGAAUAAUAUUCUGCAUUUUUAAUAGUGUCCAAACAUCCACUGUGACAGGGCAUUCACGAAAGAUAUGGUCGAUCAUUUCAGCUCUUUCUCCACAUCAAGGGCAACUUGUAUUGCUUACAAGUUUUCGAUGCUGCAUAUUAACCCUUGUCGGCAAAUAAUUCCAUGAGAUUUUCCAUAUUGUAAUCUUGAUUUUAUUUGGUAGAUUUAAGAGCCAUAGUUUUUUGUAGAAAUUUCUGUAGCCAGUUUGUAAUGCGUAAGCUCUAAGGAUUUCAUCAAAAGUUUGUAAUAGUUUAUAAGUGCUGUGGACUGAAAACUCGCCUGAAUGCUCGCCUCUCCAGACCAGUAGAUCAUCAUGAGGUGCGCUUGCUAAAGGUAUCCAGAGGAUUUUUCCAGCAUCAUCCUCUGAAAAGUUAUUGUUUAUAAAUUCUCUUUUCCAUGCUCUUUCAUUACUAUCGAUCAAUUCACUGACCUUGGCAUCUUGCAUAAAAUUAACAACUGAAGAUAACUUAAAAUUGACAGCAUCUGGAAUCCAAGCAUCAGCAUUUAUAAAAAUAUUUGUGCAUGUGCCAACCCUUCAGCACAUUCUUUUUUCCAAAACACCCUUCGCUGCCCAUAUGCUUUUCCAUAUAUAAGAGCUGGUUUUUCCCAAUCGAGACUUUAAGAAAUGAUCAUUCAGAAAAUAUUUUGCUUUAAAAACUUACGUAACUAAAGAGUCCUGAUUAGUAAUGAGCCUCCACCCUUGUAGCAAGUAGAGAAAUAUUGAAUUACGCCAUAUUUCUAAAUCCUAAUCCCCCCUCUUCUUUUGAUCGACACAUGAAUUUCCAUUGACACCAGUGUAUCCCUUUCCUACCUUGUCCUUUGUGCCACCAGAAUUUAGUGAAAAUAUUUUCUAACUCCCCUCAUAACGAUUUUGGUAGAAGGAAACAUGACAUAGCGUAAGUUGGAAUUGCUUGAAGAACUGAUUUUAUAAAUAUCUCAUUUCCCCCUUGUGAAAGUAACCUAGUACUCCAACUUACAAUUCUCAGCUUAAUUUUAUCUUUGAGAUUCUGAAAAGCUUCCUUCUUUCGCUUUCCUACAACAUUAGGAAGUCCUAGAUAUUUUUCCAUAUUUGUGGAGCUUCUCACAUUUAGCAAACUCGAUAUUUCUUCUUUCUCCUGUUCUGUUGUAUUUGUGCUAUAGAAAAUUGUUGAUUUGUUGUAGUUUACACAUUGACCUGAGCACUGUUCAUAUUCCUUCAAAAUAUCUUUGAAAAUUUCCCCCCUCGUUGUGUCGCCUCACCAAACAGUAUACAGUCAUUUGAAAAAAGCAAGUGCGAUUUUUCAGGUUCUCUUUUACUAGCUCUUACUCCCUUCAUCGAUCCCUCAUCUAUGGCCAUUCUUAUUAAAGACGAGAGUCCAUCACAGCAUAUCAAAAAAAGAAAAGGGCUGAGCGGGUCAUCUUGACGAAGCCCUCUAGUAGGCUUAAAAACCUCUCUUCUUCUCCCAUUGAUGUUCACUGUAUAAGAGACUAUAGAGAUGCACUUCAUGAUUAAUGUUACCCAUUCUAUAACAAAUCCCAUUUGAAGCAUAACUUCUUUUAAAAAAGCCCACUCAACUCUAUAGUAAGCUUUGCUCAUAUCUAGCUUAACUGCCAUCAGCCCUUUUUUCCCAUUCCGUCGUUGACUUAGCGUAUGCAAGAGUUCAUAGGCUACAAACACAUUGUCAGUAAUUAACCUUCUGGGAACAAAAGCACUUUGAACCUUAUCAAUACAUUUUCCAAUGACUUUCUGAAGAUGAUUUGAAAUUACUUUUGCCACAAUUUUAUAUAGAACUGUGCAUAAGUUGAUAGGUCUAAAAUUAACAAGACUUGUGGGGUUUGGUAACUUUGGGAUAAGCACAACAUCUGUAAGGUUUAGAGAGUCAAAAUCUCGUCCUUCAUUCAGUAUGCCUAAACAAAAGUUUUUGACAUCUAUACCUAUAAUGUGCUAGAAUUUUUGAAAAAAUAAAGCUGGAAAUCCAUCAUAAUCUGGUGCUUUAGUGGGCCCCAAUUCUUUCAAGGCUGAAAAUACCUCUUCUGCUGUAAAAGGUACUAGUAAAUCUGUGUUAAUAUCAGAUGAGAUAUUAGAAUGAAUACCUUUUAGAAUGUGGGAUAGAUUCCUAAUACCAUUUGACGAAAUAAAUUCUGGAAGUAAUUUGAGGCUGACUCAUUAAUUGCUGAUUCAUCAGAACUUUCCCUCCUAUCAUCAGAUUCCAGCUUAGUAAUCAUGUUUGUUCGUCUAUGAGCUGUGGCAUAUUUUUGGAAAAAGGCAUAAGUUUUGUUGCCCAAUUAAAUCCAAUUGGCUCGCGCCCUUUGUUCCCAAUACAUUUCAUCCUUAUCUAUCUCCAUAUUAAGAUGAAUUUUUGUAUCAAUCAGCUUUGUGAUUGUGUCAUCAUCUCUGUCGCCUGCCAAAAGAUCUUCAAUUUCCUUUGUGAGCUUACUCUUCAACCCAUCUCUACCCUUUUUUAUUGAGUUUGCCCACCUCCUCAAUCUUGUCUGCAGCCUUUCUAGCCUUUGAGCAAUAGUUCCAUUUGAUGACUCCCACGAUGUUUUAAUCUAUUGUUUAAUAGAUUCCUCCAUGAUCCACCAUGCCUCGAAUUUAAAACUUGGUAUCCUCUUAUAGCUAAUCUUAUUGUUGUUAUUGAUUAGUAAGGGACAAUGAUAUAAAAUCCAGUGUGUUAAAUACUAAAUAACUCCUUUUGGGAAAAGUGCCAGCCAUUUUUCAUUCGCCACUCCCCUAUCCAAUCGCUCUCUAAUAUUCAUUUUCGGUAGAUUCUGUAUCACUUCUUAACCCCGUCCCGUCGCCAGAACAGGACUACGAAGUAUUACAGGUCAUUACAGUACAUUUACACGUAAAACAGAAAUAAAUGUAAUACUGUACAUCUUAUUAUACUUUUAAUGUAUUUAAAAAGUAUAUCUUAAACAAACCGGGGCUCGAUCAGAAGCUUAAAAAAUUUUUCGUAAAAUUUCAAUGUAACACCCCUUACCCGAGACCGUUUCCGGAGUCGAGCACGAGGCAUUACUUAGCUUAUCUUACCAAUUCGGAGCAUAAAAACUAGGUUUGAAAAUUUAUUUCACUAUUUACAGCAAAUCUGUCCAAUCGCGCAGCAGUUGCUAAAUUAAUUAUAACUUGAGCUACAGAACUCGAAAUUUAAUUCCGUAAAUUUUCCCUGAAACUAGACUCAUAUAUCUACUCACCAUAAAAUUUUUAGAAUUUUUGGUUCAGCCAAUUAGUACAGUUUAUUAGUUAAAGUCUCCCCUGUUUCACCAUUCGACUAUUCUGACCUCUUGUUACUAAAAAUAAGUUUUCUCACUGUAGGAUUUUCAUAUGAAGUUCUUACUUGUUUCUACGGAAAAUAGACUCAUUAAGGAAUCUAAGCAUGUAAAUUUCAACUCAUAACCAUUUUUGUACAAUUUUUAAUUAUUUUCUAAACUCAGAACAGGGGACUCCAAAAAUAGUUCUGACCCUAUCUUACUAAAAUUCAUAUAUCUUAAAAUAUAAAUUUCCUUUUUCUACACCGUUAUUUUUCCAUGAAAAUAGACUCAUAUUUUAUUCUUUUUGCUUCCUUUUUAUAGUAUAUUCCUUUGUCGUCAUCUUCAAUUUCUAACUCCUCCGGUUUUCUUUUCCUCAAAAUACUCUCACCAUUAGCCAUGUCCGUCUCUCUAGUUGCCUCAACUCUCUUCCAGCUCGAUUUCUUUGCUAAAGAAUAAUGAGGACCAUCUCUAAUUUUAUUUUUUCUACAAGUGUAAACGUGAGGCAUUCAUUGGGCCCAUGCCCUAUCCUUCCACAGCCAAAACAAGAAGUUGGUAAUUUUUCAUAUUUAAAUGGGAUCCAGGACUUACUUUGAUUUUCUGUUGAGAUGAAAAUACCCUUGCGCAACGGUUUUUGCACAUUUAACUGAACUCUAAGUCGAUAGAAAUCACCAUUAAUUGUAGAUCUCAGAACACCUCCAAAAGUAACCCCAAUAGCAUGCAUUAAAUCUUUUUUAUCAAUUUCUGGUAGACAUGGGCCGAUCUUAACCCAGUAUGGAGAUGAAUUAAGCCGAAUUCGACUCCUCUCUAUCGAUUUAGUCAACUGAUCAAACAACAUUAAAAUUUUCCGAAACAAUCAAGGCUGCCCCUCCAUAAUUAUCUCCAGAUCUUCUUCACCUUCAAACACUAUCAAUAAUAAAUUCUGCCCUGCCAAUUGGAUCUCAAACCUUUUCCUUGUCUUCCAUAUAUUUUUCAUCUGUGCCCUAAAGCUAUCUGGAUUAUAGGAUUUUUUGUCCAUAUAGUGCAAAGUAGGGUUGGCUUAUCACUGGGUGCCACCAUCGAGCUUUUAACUGAUAACUGAAUGAAUUCUUCUGCCAAAAGGGAGAUCUCCUCUCCUGUGAACCCCUCUUCGCCACCACUUUCCUUCAUCCCAAGCCGCAUAAAGACCUGUUCUCGCUAGGAUGCUAAGGAAAGCACUCUUGACUAGGGUUUAAUUUACUAUCUAAAAUUGCAUUGAAGCAUUUUCUAAAUCCAGCACUCUUAACAAUUUUAAACUUGAGGUAGGUCUAAUCACUUGAUAAGUAUUUGUAUUAUUUAUGAUUUAGCAAUGGUUUUUAUUUAAUCUCUAAGUAAAUAUUUUGAUGAGUCUCAAUAAUCAUUAUAUUUUGCUCAAAAUUUCAAGUUAUUUGUGUAUUUGUUUAAUGAUGUAUUUUUUAUUUCUUUUAUCUUUGAUGUAGGGAAAGAUGCCACAAGGAGAGGCCGGAAUUUGGAGGAGAAAGAACUACCAACCCUCUCAUCUUAGGCAACUUUUACUUCAACUGCGGUUAGCUGAACAGUUAAUCGAAUCAAACUAGUAUUAAUUGAAUUAAUCAAACUUUUUAAUCGUUUAACCAUUAACCAAACCAUUUUUUUUGUUAAAACAAGUAUAAAACAUAUCAAUUUUUUUUAUAAUGCUUAUUUGACCGAAUAAAAACUACAUAUCAUUUGUAUUAUUAAUUAUUAAGUUCAAUUAAUUACCCGAUUUUGUAUCGAAUUAACCAAUAACCAAACUUUUAAAAAAUCAUUAACUGACCUUCAACUGAAUUAGAUCGAUUAACUAACUGAUUAAUCAACUUAAAUUAGUUCGAUCAGUUAAUUUAGUUUUAACCGAAAUUUGAACGCCCCUAAUUUUUAAUAAAUUUUCAAUUUGAAUGAGAAAAAGAAUAAAAUAAUUAAAUAAUUAAAUAAAUAGGAAACAUUAUAAAUUGGACAUUUACAUCUUUAUUAAUUUCAAUUGUGGUGAGUUUUAUGUGAUAUAUGUAUAAUUCAUUGCAAUCUUAGAUUUCAUUGUGAUAUUUGUAGAAACCAUUAAUCGGAUAUAAAAUUUGGCUUAUAACUUGUUCAAAUUUAUUCCAACAUAAUAGGCAAAUGGUUGAUAAAUAAUCACAGUAUACUUGGUUUACUAUUAGUCUUUAAAUAAUAAUAAUUAUUUUUAUUACACAUUCUCACGUAAUUCAUUACAUUGUAACUUAAUUAAUAUUCCUAUAAAAAAGAAUCAUACAUAUCAUGUAUUUUCUUUUUCAAAUUCUAAAAUAUUCGUCUUUGUUACAAAAUAUCUUUAAUUUCAAAAUUUUAAGAUUUUAAAAGUUUUAAGUGAGUUACAUUAUUUAGCUCAUAAUUUUUUAUUUAAAAAUAGAAAUAAAAAUAUAUUUAUAUAUAUUUAUUAAUAAAAUUAAAAUCUGGAAGCACAAAAUUAUAUUUUUAAUAUUUAAAUAAUAACUCGAAUUUAAUUGAGAGAAGUACUGACUUCAAUCCUUUGUUGGUAAUGUUAACAUUGUCUCCCUGUAAUUAGGGUUUGGUUGAGAGAUGAUUGUAAAGUAAGUGACUAAAAUUUAUAAAAAGAAUAUAUUAUAUUUUAAAUGCUAUUGAAAGAAAAAAGGAAAGGAAUCCACUUAGCGCAUUAAACACUUCAUUACUUCAAAAUGGAGAAGGGUUUAAGAAAAACCUCGCCUUUGUUUCUUGACGAAAAAGCCAGGUUUCUUUGCUGCCACUAGCGCUCCUCAAGCUUUCAAGCUUCUUCCUUUUUCUUCUUUACGAUCAAUCCAAAAAAUACAAGCAGAUGGAUAAAAUGAAGAUAGAAGAGGUUCAAUCAACGGCCAAAAAGCAAAGAAUCGCUACUCAUACUCACAUCAAAGGCCUUGGUCUCGAUGUAUUCUCUUCAUUCCUUCCUCCCCUUUUUAAAAUUUUUUUUCUGAGCUUAAAUGUUUUGCAUUUUAGUGUAUUUCUGCAAUAUUGUUGUAAUUGUCAGCAUUUUGAAGUUUUUUUUUUGAGCCAUGGAAAUUUACCUUUUCUUGGUUUUAGGGUUUUAAGCUUAAAUAGUCAACUGUUAAUUCAAUUACUGGAGAUUUGUUGUUAAUGGUAUACUUUUUCAGUUUUAGAGUGGACAGAAAUAUAGUUUUAACUUAAAUUGAAGGUCCAGAAAUGGAGAUAAUAAUAAAUAUUGAACUAACUAAUUCUCAAUUACGGACUAUGGAAAGAAUUGGAUGGCUUUUGAGGCGUAGAUUUUUGUUAAUUGUAUGAGUUUUCAAUGCAUAUAUGAGUUGAAUAAGUGGUUUUUUUUUCACUAUGAAGUUUCAUUGAUAGAACAUAGUAAUUUGCUUAUAUAUUCUGAACCAUAUCUUUUGCUUUCAUUCACUUGUUGUUUUUACUGGAAAAAUUGAAAUCUAUGCUUACCUUUUUGACCAAUUUCAAAACUUUACGAGCAUUUCUUUUCCUUUGUUUACCAGCCCACUGGAAAUGCCGUUCCUUUGGCUGCAGGUUUUGUGGGGCAAGCAGAGGCAAGGGAAGCAGCUGGUCUUGUGGUGGAUAUGAUAAGGCAAAAAAAGAUGGCUGGCCGUGCACUUUUGCUGGCUGGGCCUCCCGGUACUGGGAAAACAGCUUUGGCCUUAGGAAUUUCCCAAGAGCUUGGGAGCAAGGUUCUCGUUGUCUUUUCCCUUUAUUUUUGAAUGUAUUUGAAAUUUGAAUUAUUGUAUGCCAGUUCUUUUGGAGGGAUUGGCAAUUUUUUUUCUAUAUGUGUUCCUCUUACAUUAUUUUCAGGUUCCAUUCUGUCCAAUGGUUGGAUCUGAAGUAUACUCUUCAGAAGUAAAGAAAACUGAAGUUUUGAUGGAAAAUUUCCGACGGGCUAUUGGUCUACGCAUCAAGGAAAAUAAAGAGGUCUAUGAAGGAGAGGUAAGUUACACCUAAUGGCAAUUCUUUAUCCCUGAUUUUAUUUGAUUGUUUUCUCUUUGGACUGCUGGGAUAGACCCUGAAUCCUAGCUGUUCUUGUUUCAGGUUACUGAACUCUCUCCUGAAGAAACAGAGAGCGUAACAGGUGGUUAUGGUAAGAGCAUUAGCCACGUAAUUAUUGGAUUGAAAACUGUCAAAGGAACAAAGCAACUGAAGUUGGACCCUACAAUUUAUGAUGCCUUGAUUAAAGAAAAGGUAAGCCUUUAAGUUUCUCUGCAUUAUUAUGUGGAAAAGAUUGUUCAAGUUUUUUAUUUUCUGGCUUUUUCUAAACUGUAUGAGGCACUAUAGCGUAUAAAAAUAUUUGUCUCUUUCCUUAGGGACCUUUCGAUGGUUAUGUUUUUUAUCUGCCUAAGAGUUUUGGCUUCGAUUUGAAAUCUUGUGAGGUUUUUAACUUGACUGGCAGGUAGCUGUUGGAGAUGUUAUAUAUAUUGAAGCAAAUAGUGGAGCCGUUAAAAGGGUGGGCAGAAGUGAUGCUUUUGCCACAGAAUUUGACCUUGAAGCUGAAGAAUAUGUGCCGCUUCCCAAAGGAGAAGUUCACAAAAAGAAGGAGAUAGUGCAGGUUUGACGCUACUGAUAUUAUGCUUUUCCCUGUAGUUCCCUUGGCAUUUAUUCUGUAAUAUAUUCUGUUUGGCCUUGAAGACUUGUUUCUGCUUAUAUUUUUAUACUGAUGGGCUUGGACGUUUUCCUACUUUGUCAACAAGUCUUGUUUGUAUAUAUUAAUGACCAUUAUCAUCGUCCCUUUGAUUUCAUAUGAGAAGUGAGGAUUCUUUUAUGAAUUUUCUUACCAACAUUUUGCCAAUUACAAACUGUUAUUUGUUUGCUUAAUAGUUGCAACCCACUUCAUGAAGAAACAAGGGAAAACAAAUCUAUGAAUUUGAUGCCUUCUGCAUUUGCCUGAUAUGUUACAAAUAUGCUUUGGUGGGCUUGGUGUCAUUUCCCUUUCUCUGGUUCUAAAUUUAUUGGUUUUCUACCCAUGCUGAAAUUCAUUAAAAAACAAAAAGAAGCUUUCUAUUUUCUUCACCACCAGGAUGUAACAUUACAUGAUUUGGAUGCUGCUAACGCACGACCUCAAGGGGGCCAAGACAUUUUGUCUUUAAUGGGUCAGAUGAUGAAGCCCAGGAAGACAGAAAUCACUGACAAAUUACGACAAGAAAUAAAUAAGGUAUUAUUUUCCAAACACAUUUGGCAUCCACCUAUAUGAUGAAUUUUUUGUGGACAAUCUGUGGGAGUAGUCUUUUACCAAUGCUAUAAUUUCUGUGGGCAAUAGCCAUUAGUAGGAGCCCUGCAAACUUCACUUAACUCUAUAUGUAUCUUAUUUUUCUUGUUAAGUUUUUAGAAUUUUGCUUGUAUCUUUUAUGUGGUUUAGAAAAUGGUAGGAUCAUAAUAUUUUAAAAGCAAUGAAAAAACAAUAUGCCUUAUUGAAAAGAUUGAGAUUUACCUCAUUCUGCACCCCAAUCAUAAUAUUGAACAACUCCAGAGUGAAACAGAUGAAUUGAUGCAAAUUUAAUGUGAUUGAAUUUCAUUACCUGCCAUGGUUUCCCAUAAUAGGUUUAUGUUUUUUCAUCCCUUCUUGUAUGAGUAAAUCCUCAAAUCCUAAUGGUUUAAAUCUUACUUUUUAACUCUCUUCAGCUAGUUGGUGGCUUAUUUUAUGCUCCCUAGAAGCUAUAGCUAUCCUGCAUGGACGUGACAUUAAGAGUCAUAUGGAUUGGUUAUUCAAGUUGGUUCAAGCUUAUGAUUUGGAUUUUGAACUUGGCCUCUAGGCUAAAUUCUUUGCUAGAAAAAUGGCAUGCCUUUUGAUUGAAAUGACAAUGUUAUUUGUGCCAGGUUGUUAACUGGUAUAUUGAUGAAGGUGUGGCAGAGCUUGUCCCAGGAGUUCUAUUCAUUGAUGAGGUUGAGUUCUUUCCUGCUUAUGAUACAUGUCCUUCGAUGCAAGGAUACAAUAUGUAUUUUUCUGUUUAUGUGCAUGCACAUAUUUAGAUCGAAGAUAUUUAUCAUGACCUGUGCACAUGUUAAGCACAUUUGCACAUCGGGCUUGCUUAUGCUUUCCAAGUCAUGAUUUGCAGGUUCAUAUGCUGGACAUGGAGUGUUUUUCAUACUUGAAUCGUGCUUUAGAGAGCUCACUAUCUCCAAUAGUAAUUUUUGCUACAAAUAGAGGAAUAUGUAACGUAAGGUAAUGAAAAUUGUUUCUGAGCCAUAUGAAUUUUUGGUUUAUCGUCUGUUCUUUUAAUCACAUCUAUAUAACUUUACCUCAAAUACAAGAUGAGCUAUUAUUCUAAUCAUCUGGACUUAGUUUCAGUACUUCAGAUCCUAGUGAAACAAUGUCAUUGGUUUAGUCUUGUUUUCUAUAAAUCAUAGCAUGCAGAAAUAGCUUGAUGCAACAAUAAUAUCAACCCUAAAGGGUUUUGGUUAUUGGGGACAAUUUUUUCUUGUAUAUAUUCAGAAUUUAGGCUCUCAUAAUUGAGGAGCAGUGGUAGGUUGAAACAUAAAUGUGAUACAAAAUUGAGAUGUUCACACAGAAUUUAGGCUCUCAUAAUUGAGGAACAGUGAUAGGGUUAGCAUAAAUGUCCCAGGCUUGAAAUUUAAGAAUCAAAAUGAGUGAUCUUCUGCAAGAUUGUUUUUUUCUGGGAAUACCUGAAGAUAAAUUUCAUAUCAGCUGUUAUAUUUUUCGGUUGGCAUAGUUUUUACAUGUUCAUUUUCCUUGCAUAAUGUUGAAUAUCUUCUACAACAUGAUUUCUUUUUUGACAUGAAGAUGGAACUUAUGUCAAUUUUUAUAUUUUAUAAUAUAUUCUACAUUGCUUAUGCAUUGCCUGAUUGGUUUGAUUCUAGUUUGUGAAAAAUGAAUAUGCAUUUUGCAGGGGUACUGAUAUGAAUAGUCCUCAUGGCAUACCUGUUGACUUAUUGGACAGAUUGGUGAUCAUCCGCACACAGAUAUAUGGUCCUUCAGAAAUGAUACAGGUUAGGGCCUGGUUAUAUGUAAUUUUUGACAUCGGCAUUUUGUUAUUUGUGGCAAGCAUCAAAUGAAAACUCAGCCAAAAUUUUCACUUAUUUGGUGUAUGCAGAUUUUAGCCAUCCGUGCACAGGUGGAAGAACUGGUUGUGGAUGAAGAAAGUCUGGCGUUCCUCGGAGAGAUUGGACAAAGCACAUCUUUAAGGUCAGGUUUAAAAUAUAGAUUUACUCCACUAUCAGUUGCACUUUUCCAACUUGAAGCAUACUUACAUGUUACUGUUUCUUCAGGCAUGCAGUUCAACUGUUAUCACCUGCUAGCAUUGCGGCAAAAAUGAAUGGUCGAGACAACAUAUGCAAGGUAAUUAAAUAUUCAGAAGAAGCUGUUUUUCAUGAUUGUUUACUUAUCAUCAAUGCAAGGAGUAAAUGUGAAUCCGUUAUUAUGUAUUUGUUUUUAGGCGGAUCUUGAGGAAGUGAGCAAGCUAUACAUAGAUGCCAAGUCUUCGGCAAAAAUUCUUCAAGAGCAACAGGAAAAAUUCAUUUCAUGAUAAUCCUAUUUUUAUAUCUUCUUUCCUCUUGCCCUUCAGUUUUAGGUUGAAUUUUGUUGUGCAUUGUUUUCUCUCAGUUGGACAAUUGAUCAUUAGUAUGUGCAAUGCAAGAUGAUUAAAUGAUUUAUUAUUGAUUUGCUUUAAGACAUCUAGGGUUCUUUGAACAACCUCAUGUCUCAGGCCAGGUAAAUCACAUAUAAAAUGCAACCAACUCCUCUCCACCGUUAUAAGAAGUAGCAGAGGUGUCAUAGAAAACGGCUGAAGCUUUGAACCACGGUAGCUCCAAUGUUAAGGUUGGAGGUGUCGCCACCCUGGAAAACCUCAGCAAAGAGCGGUCCGUCAGGUUGUGGGGUGGCAUAGAGUUAUCAAUGUUGGAAUCAGAAAUUAAUCCUGUUAACUUUUAAUUAUAACAAAAAAGGGUUUACAUGUGCUUGAAUAUAAAACCAAUUUUGUCAUCAAGCUUUGUAAAACUUGCAUUUGAUAGAAGGUGAAAAUCAUAUUGUUAUGAUUGGGUCGGUAGUAAAGAAUUCGAAGUCUUUUUAAACAAAGUUUUCUGAAAAAUCAUUUUUGGAGAGUUUUGACAUUAAAUUGAGUAAAAAAUGGAGAAAACCAAAAGUCAGUUCGAAUUGUACUGUUUAGUUUAGUUUAGUUUUAUUAAAUUAAAAAAUAAAUAAAUUCAGUUUUGGUUUGGUUAUUGGUUUUAUUAUAGGAACUGAAUUGAAUUCUUUUAUUUAUUUAUUAUUUUUAAAACAAAAAAUAAAUAUUUUUUACAAAAUAGUAAAAAAUAAUUUUAAAAUUUCUAAAAAUAAUGAAUUGAACCGAUUUGAAGUAAUAAAAUUGGGUUUAAUUCGAUGCUCUUGAGAUUGAGUCAGAUUAUGGUUGGAUUUUUCAAACCUAAACCGUUAUCCCUCAGUUGAGAGUUGAAUGCAACUACAGAAGAUGUUAGUGAAAAAGAAAAAAUAUUAUCAGUGUUUAAAAUAAAUCCUGAACAAAGGGAUUAAGCAAUGGAAGAACCUUGAGGAGAGCGGUGGAAGACGUGACAACCUACGAGUAAAGCUCAAAUUGACUUGAUGAACCCUUAAACGCGGUGAUGGAGGUCUAAUCAAGUACUUUAAUGGUACGAUACUAUUAUCAUAUCCCUAACCUCAAACGUAACGCAACGCCACGUGACGAUACAGGUCCGUACCAACUGUCAAAACAAUCUGUCCUUCACUUGUCCCACAAUCAGACAUCACAUCACAUCACAUCACUACCCCUUCCAUACGCAAAAACUGAGAAACAAAAAUAACCAAGUUUCCAACUUCAAAAAACCAAACCCAGAAGCCAAAGCAAAGCAAAGCACAACUUUUAACGUAUCAUCAAUCCCUUUCCUCCAAGCAAACCCAACCAAAAGCCACGACAAACAAAACACUUGUUUUUUCUUUACACCAAAUAAAGAAGAAAAAGAACAAGGAACAAGGACAAGUUUGUGUUUCGGUUGGAUCAUGAUGGCAGGUGAAGGGGUUUCAAGAGAAACCCAAAUGUCUAUUCAAGCCUCUUCAAUGUUUCCAGGGUUUAGAUUUUCACCAACUGAUGUUGAGCUCAUUUCUUAUUACUUAAAAAAGAAACUGGAUGGUUAUGACAAAUGUGUUGAGGUCAUUCCUGAGAUUGAAAUUUGCAGAUAUGAGCCUUGGGACUUGCCAGGUUAACGGCCCAUUUUAAUUCUCUAAUUUCUUAUAAUGAUAUUAUACAUGAUGCUAUUGCAUUUAGGUUUUAGUAAUACAUGCCUGGAGGAUUCUACUUUGUUCUUGUUAUAUAUUCGGUGGUGUGAUUUCUGGUGUUUUUUUCCCUGUAUCAGCUAAGUCCAUCAUAAAGUCAGAUAAUGAAUGGUUCUUCUUUUGUGCUCGAGGAAGGAAGUACCCAAAUGGUUCACAAAGUAGACGAGCAACCGAACAGGGUUAUUGGAAAGCCACAGGGAAAGAACGUAAUGUGAAGUCCGGUUCGAAUGUGAUCGGCACGAAGAGGACUCUCGUCUUCCACACAGGUCGUGCUCCGAAAGGGGAAAGGACCGAAUGGAUCAUGCAUGAAUAUUGCAUGAAAGGAAAAUCCCAGGUUACUAAUUCUCUUAUAAUACUAACAUAUGAACAAUAAUUGCUCUUGUUAGUCAUUGACAGUGUUUUUCUUUUUUGCUGUUGGUGAUUUUUAGGAUUCCCUAGUGGUAUGCCGUCUUAGGAAGAACAGCGAGUUUCGUCUGAAUAACAAUUCGAAUCGGGUUGCUCGGAAUCACAGGGAGUUGUCAAUCGUGCAUGACAGCAACCAUGCUACCUCAGAUGGUGGAACUGAUCUAACUGGCAUCUCUGAAGGGGACAAGGCAAUUGAAUUCUAUUCAAAGAAGGCUACUAGCAGUAACGAUUCUCAUUCUAUAGAGCAAAUCGAUUCGGCAUCCGAAUCCGAGCAAAAGCUUUCCAAUGAAGUUGCACCAACAGAGUCUUCUACACUUAAGAAGGUUGUUAAAAUCAACAAGAUUGGUGGUUUUAAUUCAUAAUCAUAAUGCAAAUGAACACGAAUAUAAUCAUGUUUUUUUUGCUUAAAAUUUACAGGAUUCUGAUGAUGAAGAAGAUUUCUUCGCUGAGAUACUGAAAGAUGAUAUAAUCAGGCUUGAUGAAACUUCAUUGUCAGCCUCAACACCUGAGAUUUUGCCUAUGAUAGCCACCACUACCCACCGUGUAUCCCUUCUCCAGGGCGGAGCAAACCGGAGAAUCAGAUUGACGAGGACUAAAGCAGAUGUCAUCCAACAUGGCACCGGUGGGAUCUCGACCAAGAAAUGGAAGUCGGAGGGACCACCAAAAUGUUUGCUAUCUGUAUUCUCACCGAGGACUGCCAUUUUAGUCAUCCUGAUAACUUUACUGGCUUUGUUGCUGCCAUGUUCCAACUUCAAAAGCAGCAAAGUAUUUCAAAUAUGAUGCAUUGUAGCAGCAGAAGUUAUGGGAAUGAAUAGCGUUCAUAGUUGAGGGCAUUUGAUUAUUUCAACAUUGAGUUCUUUAUCUGGGGGUGUAAAAGAAUCCAGUUUGGUUAGUUUAAAUGGUCAUGAAUAAUAUAGUUAUUUGUAUUCAAGUUUUUCUUCUUUCAUAUUUAGUCUAAAAGCUAGCCAACAUAAGUUUGUUUAUGGGUGAGGCUGUAUCCAACCCAGGACCUAGUCUUUUGUUCUUACAUGAGAAGCUUUGUUGAUAAAAACAUGUUCAUAAAAAUAUAUUAUCCAAUAAAUUUACAAAUAAUUAAAAAUAAACUAAUUCAAUCAAGUUAAUUAUUAAAAUAUCCUUUACAUAUGAGAAUACUUUUAUUUUUUCAUUUAAAAGUUGCAAAUGUUGGUCUAGUCGGUGGUGCUGACUAUUCAUUUUACUCGUUUUACUAGCAUUGGGUGUUGGUGUUGGGAGCUUCUAUUUUUCUUUGCAUAUUCGGAGUUGGCCGAGGAGAGCUCAUCAGAGGCGGUUGGGAUUUUUGUGCUCCUUUCUGAUUGUUUCCUUGUUUCUUUAGGGUUUGUUUGUUUCCUUUUGUUGUAUUUGUUUUUUGGUUUUUAUUUUGUUGUACGGUGUCCUUUUGUUUCCUUAAUAAAUUCUAGCCUUCAUUCAAUAUAUAUAUUAGAAUUUUUUUUAAAACAUGCUAUAUGUGUAUAUAUAUAAUUUUUAUAAUUUCUAAAACUUUUAAUAUUUAUUUAUAAUUUUUAAUAAUUUAAGAAACAAGCUCAAAAUAAAUUUGGACAAAUGGUUGUUCAGGUUUAUUCAAGUCUGGACAAUCAUAUGUCUAGAUUUAUUUUGAAUGCAUAAAAAAAAUAUUUAAUUUUAAAAAUAUUGUUAGGCUAGCAAGAGUUACACAUUGCCCGUCAUCUAUCGCUGUUUGAUUGCUACUCAACCUCGUUAGCACUUAACAAUAGAAAUAGAUGAAAAUUUUAACAAAUUAGCUAAUUUACUUUAAUUUAAUCUACAUGAUUUAAUUUGCUCAUUUUUUAAUUAGUAGUUAGACAAAAUGUAAUCCAAUUUGUACGGGCUUGAUGGUACUUUUACUAAUAGAAGAAUAAUGGGUAAACUAAAUCUAAUGUCACUAAACUAUUAGUAAAUUUACACUUUAGCCACUUAACUUCAAAAAAUUACAAAUUGAUAACUAAACUAUUUGAAAGUUACAAGUUGGUCUUAGCCUAUUAAGUUUCUAACCGAUGUUAGAUGUGAGGAUGGCUAAUCUACAAUUCAGUCAUGAAAUUAUUAAUAAUUUUAUAAUUUAGUCACUCAAUUAUUAAUAAAUUUAUAAUUUAGUCACUCUCAACAUAAUUUAAUAAAAGAUACUAUUAAGUUAUUUUUUAUUCUCUCAACUAAAUAAAAGAAUAUAUAUUCUAUAGGCUAAACCAAAAAAAUAAAAUCAUUCUCAAUAGCAUGUUAACUAAUGAAGGAAAUUAACAAAUUUGACUAGCUUUUAUCUUGUUGAUUGAUUUGCUUCUAACCAUUACUAUGAAAAAGAAAAGGGUAAUUACACCAACAGUCACUCAACUUUGGGAUAGCUGAUAAAACAGACAUGUUGGUUUCAUUUCAGUCACUCAACUUUAGAAAAAUAAUAAAACAAUAAUUUUUACUGUUUUCUAUUACUGACGUAACGAAAAAAUAACAUGGCAUAUGACAGCGUACUUGGUGUCAUUAAUCAUCCAGUUGGCAUAUGACAGCGUACUUGGUGUCAUUAAUCAUCCAGUUGGCCGAUUAGCACCAAUAUAAACAACCCCUUCAGCAUUAAUUUAGGGUUUAUGCAAUAGAAAAAGAAGAGAAGAAGAAGAUGAGAAGGAGGAGGAGAAGGAGGAGAAAAAGAAGAAGAGAAAAAAAAGGGAUUUGGGAUGGUUUCUGUCUAAGGCAAAGAGGUUAUCAAAAGGAAAGAAGGGUUUGUUGUUAAGGAUUGAAGUAGGGCUAUUGAGAGAUUCAGUGUCGGGAAAGGCUUUUGAAAUGAAAGCUUUAAAUCGUGGAGAAUCGAAGAAAGAUGGGAUUUGUUUAGUGCAAUUCUGGGUAGGGGAUGAUGCUUGAGAGCUGUGAUCAGCCAUUAAAGUUUACUUGCUAGUCACUGCUCUGGACUUAUUCCUCAGCAUACCUACCUAUCCUCUUUUUAUUAGAUGGAUAUCAGAAUCAAACCCGCCAAAUUUCUAAUAUGGAACAACUGCAAAAACAAGGAAACAAUCAGAAUUUGAUUAGAAAAAGAAGAAAAAAAAGUGGGGAAGCAAAAGAUGAAAUGGGAGAACCCAGAUCUAAAAGCUCUUUUUUUAUUCUUAUUUGUGUUGAGUGUUUUUCUUUUUCAUCUUGUUUGUUUUCUCUGUCUAAUCACUUUGUCAAACUUGUUAGGCAAAAAGAAAGGACAAGACAAUAAGAAGAAAUUGAAACCAAAAUUAGGAUUUAGAAAUUGGUAAAUACUAAAAACCCAUAUCUUUCUCUCUUUCUCCAGCUUUAUUCUUCUUAUUGUCCUUCAAUCUUUGUUUUUUGUUCUGGUUACUUAUGUACUGUUAUUGACCAAAAUUAGGCAGAGAAGACUUCUUUUUGGCGAUUUAGUAUUUCAAGAAGAAAUUUCUCUAGUGGACAAAAUUUAGCAUUUGAAAUUGAUCCAUAAUAGAAGAAGAAGAAUAUUGAGGAAAAAAACCUAAUCCAAUUUAAUGGUGGUGCAAGUGGUGAUGGCCAGAGUACUUGUCGGUGUUGCUGGUUUGUUUGUAGGGUCAGUUGUAUUGGGGUCGUUGGCGACUUUGAGAGGGAUUUUACAUUCUCUUCUUCUUCUUUUUCUUGGACAGUUGUAUUGGGGUCGUUGGAGACUUUGGGUUAGUUAAUUGGCCACGUCAGCUAGUUAACUGGCCACAUCACCUAUCCCAUUAAGUUUAUAACUAAAAAUGUUAGUGGGUGACUGAUUUGUCACUUUUUGAUAACACUAGUGACUGUUUUGUUAUUUUUCUAAAUUUGCGUGACUAAAAUGAAUCCAAAGUGACUGUUUAUCAGCUACCCCAAAAUUAAGUGACUGUUGAUGUAAUUUACCUAAAAGAAAACCUUUCUUCAUAAUGAUUGAUUUUCUUCUUAUUUUAGCACCUAUAUAUCUUCGCAUCACUUUUAUCAUUAUUAUUUUAUCUAAUUAAUAACUAAAGAGAUUUGCUACUAGCAAUUAAAGACUUAUUACUUCAUUAUACAAUUUAUCAACUCACUUUUUAUUUGAUUAAUUGACAAAAAAUAAAAAUAAAAAACCCUAGGAUAUUAAUUUGGUUGAGAAAAUAUAAAGUAACCUAAUACCACAUUUUAUUUAAUUGUUUCAAUGGAAAAAUUAUUAAAUUAUUCUAAUAGUGACUAAAUUGUAAAUUUACUAAUAAUUAAGUGAUCAAAUUGUAAAAUUACCUAUCACGACGUUUUAUCGUCGGUUAGUAACUUAACGGGCUAGUGACCAACUUGUAACAUUCCAAUAGUUUAGUGAACUUGGUGUAGUUUACCCAAAUAAAUGGCUUUAUUUUUCUUUUCCGCCAUUGAUAAUUGCUUCCUUCGUUGUAUAAACGAAAGUAAAAGAAAAUCGACUCAGAAAAAGAAGUACAAAAAGAAGCCUUAGCUUCAAAACUCACUUAGAACUCUCCGAAGAGGAGUUGAGAAUGUGUUGAUCGAUCAUGAAUUCAGGGUUUCCUCAUUAACUUUGAUCUGUAAGUUUUUUCCCGACUUCCCUUUUUUAAUUUGGGCAUUUUCUUCAUUUCUUCAAAUAAUUUGGUCGAAGAUAGUAAAUUCGGUUUCUUUUUUGGUUGUUAAGAUAGUUUAGGAAAAUACGAAGUGCCGAUUUCCGAGAAUUUCUUUAAGAAAAAAGAAAUUGGAAAUGCCAUUUGGGGCUUUAUAUGAAAAUUUAUUUUUACUUUAUUAAUUUUUUUUUGGGAUAAGUUAUCUAAUUUGAAUAUAUAAAAACGUGGGAAAUUUUGUUUUACUUGGAUUUUUCUUAAUUUUCUCGGCAACCGAGCAGAAAGUUGAGUUUUUUUAGCUGAAUUUGAUCCUUAAUAGUUGCUUUUGAGUUAUUUUUACGUGUUAGGAUUUGGUUUGUAUGAAAUUACUGCAUUUCUUCAUGAAUAUCCAUCUCAAUCUUGGGUUGGAUUUUUUAGUUUAAUAAGUUUGGUUAAUCGCGUUUCAAAUGAUUAUAAUAAGAAAUUUAGAUCGAACAAACUAUAAAUAGUUCUUUCGGCAUUCCCACUGUCUCUUAAUAGGAAUGUUUAUGGUAUGGUUUCAUAGAAUGUUGAAUGUGGGUUUUUUUUUUCUCAAGUUACAGGUUUCGUAAGAGACUUAGAUAAAAAUGUCGAGACCGAUGUUACUUGUUUUCCUAUUUAUUAUAAUCAUAAUCACCUCACAAUUUGAGUGGAGGCAACCACUUGUUGUUGAUGUUGACACGACCCCGAGUGUAUCGCAGAAGCCGCAACAAAUUUCAAGGAGGGAAGAAGCUGUGAAAGAAAAGGUGACAAGCCUUGUACUUUUUUUUUUUUUACCAAUUCUAAUUAAAAUUUCAAGUUUAUCUUCUCUUGAUGGAAAAGAGUUGAAUAAUGAGAUUAGUUUCAUUGAAAUGCAUACGUCUUAUGUGACAUAUUAUAUGUAUAGUUGGUAUGUAAACUUAAGCUGAAUUGCAAAAUGCAAACCCUUUUUUAUCUCUUAUCUUUUCAUUUUCUAAUAAGCUUGCUACCGUUGGUUUAUUCAGUGUAGGAAGUUAGUCCGUUUAAAUGCAAAGCAAAAUGUUUUAUACCCUUGUUUAGCAAUUGCUUCUGUAAGCUUCCCUCUCAGUGUUUUGUUUGAGUUUUAUCUUUAUCUUUAAGAUUUAUGUUUGCUCAAAACAUGGUAUAGGAUAGAAGGAACUGUGCUAUUGCAACCUCUGAUAUGCCAAAAGGCAGAAACUAGGUACUUGGGAAAUGUUUGCCUUCAGUAGCAAAGUAUAACGAGGGCGUUGUCUUGAUCCAUAUCUUCCACCAGCAAUUUUACUUCUGAUUGACUUUGAGUGGAAAUUUGUCAAUUGCAGAUCAUCUUAUCACAAGAGAAGAAGAUUCAGAGACUUAAUGAACUUGUGCGGAGUCUUGAGCAGCAACUGCUGCAGUGCAAGGGUGAUAACAAGACAACUAAUGGCACUGUAAGUUAUUUGACUGAACGGAUUCUUGAGCUUGAGAGGCAACAGAUCUUAGAGGACUAGGCAGGGUAUUAUAUCGCAAAACAUAUGCUCUGAUUGUGGUGCAUUGAAGCUUUAAAAUCCUUGUUUAUCCAUGUAAGUGUAAGUUCAAUAUUUCAUUUGUUGUAAGUUAUAUGGUUUUUCCCCUUCAUUUGUGUCCACUCCAUCUCUUCCAAAUGGAAGCGGUGAAAGCUAUGCACACAGUAUAAAUCAUCCAUUUUACAAUCCUUAGUCAUUGCCAAGUGGCUGCUGUUAUUUGACUCAGCUACUUUGAAACCAAUCUUCUGUUAUUAUACUGUAUUAGAAUUAUCAGCAACAUUUAGCCGAUUGAGAAUGAAAAAAAGCUAUGAUGAGUUUCAUGGUGUAGGUAGUCGGCUCAUAUAUGAUGCUAAGAAAAAGUUAUUUUCUGUGUUUACAUGCUACAUGAUUUUGUGAGUUGACUCCAAAAGUUCUCAUAUAUGAGCUCUAGAUUCUGCUAUUUUGCUCUGGAUGUAUUGUUUCCAUGAUAUAUUGCUCUGUUUCCAUGGUGUAGUCUUCUUGUCAUGCAUGCAUCGGAAUAUAAGCAGAGACUCCGCUGCUGUGUUCUGCAUGUAUCGUAGCCCCAAUAUAUUGCUUCAAUUUGCCUCAUGUUUAGGGCUUUAAGCAGAAAUUUCAAACUCCUGCAUCUGCAUAUGCUAAUGACAACUUCAGAAGAAUAGUUCAGAUUUCACAUGGAGUGGAGUUCAAGAAGUAUUUGGAUAGACAAGGUUGCUUCUGUACUGAGGAACCUCUCUAAAUGAAAAAUUCAAGAGGCCAACAGUGAUCAAAGUGCUAAAUACAUAGCAUAGAACUUGAACGAACAAAAGUUUGAGCACUUAAUAUUAUUAGAGAUUUAUGGGAUUUUUAAAUUGGCCCGUCUGUUUUUGGUCACUCAAGUAUGAAUUUUUUUAUUAUUAUAAAAAUUGGUCACUUAAUUAUGGGUUUGCUUCUUUUUUUGUCAUCUAACUAUGUAUAUUUUUUAAAUUGGCUGCCCAAUAAAUCAAGAAUUUUUUUUUGGGUCCAUUUUCGUUAACAUAAUAGUUAAAAAAAUCAGUAGUUUUCAAUUUUUACAUAUGAUAUCGGUUUAGUCAUAAUUUUUAAAAAUUAACUUUCAAAAUUUAUAAAUAGUCUCAAUUUGAUCUUAAUUCUAAAAAAAUUAAAAAAAUAUAAAAAAAUACAUAAAUAUUUAAAAAAAUAUAAUAAAUUUUUAAAAAAUGUAAAAUAAAAAAUGAUUUAUAUUAAUAUUAAAUAUAAAUAAUUAUAUUAAUAUCAAAUAAAAUAAAAAUACCCCAUCCCCAUCCCAUCUCUCUCUCUCUUUCAGUUCUUAGUUUCAUAUGAACUUGCAAUGGUUUCAUAUGGGGAGGGAAUAAAUUUCUUAAAUCUGUAGUUCUAUUUUGUUUUUCAAAAUCUUGCAUUGUAUCAAAAUGUUGCAUUGCAAGUUGAAAUGAAAAAUUAUAUAAUUUCCACUAAGUGGUAACUUGCAAUGGUUUCAUAUGGGGGAGAGAAUAAAUUUCACUUCGAUCCACAUUGAAGUUUCAUUUCAUCUUAAAUUAUUUGUGUUGUAUUAAGAUAAUUCAUGUCACUAAUAUAUUUGCUUACCUCUAAUCAAGCAACUUUAAUUCAUCUCUAUUGCAAAUUCUAACUCAUUUCCUUAAACUUAAAAUUAGAAAAUUGUGUCCAAAACUCAGAACAUACUCCCUAAAAACUUAGAAAUUUGUUUGAUGCUUAUGGGCAAGUUCUCAAUAUUGUUUCCAUUUAAAUCUAUGUCUCCAAGGAAGAUAACCCAUGGAGAUUUAACAUUAAAUGUUAUCCAACAUUGAGUUUGUCAAAUACAGAAAUGAUCCAACCUCAAUUAACAAAGAACUCGAGUCAAUUUUUUUUUUUGUGCUUUUAAAAGUUAUCUUUGUGAAGAUGAAAACUGUGAAGUGAAAGUUGACAACACCGUAAGUUGUAAUUAUAUUUAUCAAUCAAUAAUGGCACCAUAGGUGAGUGUAUAAUAUUAAUUUUAUGUUUUUAUAAAUUAAUGAGGUGUCGAUAUUCCUCAAAAGUUAACUUGAACAAAAUUAAUUAUAUUUAAUUUUUUUUAAUUUUUAAAAAUUAAUAUUAUAUUAUUUUAAUAUUACAAUAUUCAAUAUUACUAAACAUAGACAUAUAUAUGAAUAAUAUUUCAUAUAUCAUUUUAAUAAUAAAUUGUUAUAACCAAUACUAUUUAUUAUUUGAAUAAAAAUAUUUUGAGUAUUAAAAUAUUUAAUAAUAGAUAGUAUUUUUAAUAUUUUAUUUUAUAUUAUUAAUUUUUUAAUAAUGAAUAAUGUUAUUUUAUGUAUUUAAUAAUAAAUACUAUUUAUGAUAAUAUUUGAGGAAUGUGAUGAUGCAAACAAGAUGGGGGGCAUAACUUAGAAAAGGCUUCACUUAUCAUUAUAGUAAUGCUUGUGAUUAUGUUAGCAAAAGAUUUAAAACAUUCACAUGGUAUUUAAAACAAAAAUAAAUAAAAAAAGAUAAAAGCUUUUUAGGUGCUUUAAUUAAAACCCUUCUUCUCCAAAUUCAAAAGGGGAGGCUUUCAGGUUUGAACACAUCAACUCUCAACAAAUCAUCUUUAAUUGCUACUCAUAAAUAAAAACAAAUUAGCAAACAUUAAAUGAUUUUUAAGUUAUAUAAUGAUGAAUUAAUGUCUUUUAAAACCUUUUCACAACUUUGGUAUCAAUUUAGUUUCUUGGAUUUGUUAUACUAAUUUCAGUUUUUAAUGUUUGAUUUUUCAGCAUUCAAAUUAAAGAAUAUGGAUUAAAUUUACAAUUUACGUAUGAUACAUCAUCAAUAGCAAAAAUUGAUCUAACAAAAUUAAUUGUUAUUGUUUGAGUUAAAACUGAAAUUUCAAAAGUUAAAAAAUAUAAAAACUACAAUUAACUAAAUUUGAAUAUAAAAACUAAAUCCAUAAUUACACAUAAUACAUGGACUAAUAAUAAAAUUUGACCUUUUUAAUUAAAAGGACCAAGAUAUUAAAAAAGAUAUGAAAUAAGUUGGUUUAUGAGUUGCAAUAUUCGUGAAAACUUAUCCCAAAUUAAUUAUCUAAUUAAAAGUAUUUUUAUUAAUUAUCAAAAAUUAUUUUUAUUCAUUUUAUGGAUAGUGAAUUAUGGAGACAAAAUAAUCUUUCAUUGGAUAUUUAUUUGAAUAUUCGAAGACAACGUAUAUAUUUGAUGAAAUUGUUUAUUUGUUUAUUAAAAUUAUCAACAUUUAUUUAUGAUAUAUUAUAGUAUCUAUCCAAAGGUGAGUUGAGAUAUACUUGAUUGUUGUUUAUAUGAAAUUAUGAAUCAACAAAGUAAAUUUAAUAUUUAUAGCAUUUGCAUAUUAUUUUGCAGUUAUUUCUCUUUAUUCAUAUGACUUAUAUGUUCUAUUAGUUAAUCAUUUAAACUUCUUUGACUAGAGUGAAUUAGUUAAGUUCCAUUUAGGUGUUUGGAUAUUAACUUGUCACUAUUAGAAGAUAAAUUGCUGCUAUCGCUAACUUAAGCAAUUAGGAAAAGAAGUUGUACUGUAAGCAAUGAGGACGGUCAAACAAUUGAUCAUUAUGUUCUUGCAAAUGAAUAUUGUUAACAACAUUAUGAUUAUAAUUCCACAAAUUAAGAGCGUAAAAAAAUUUCUUAUGUUUGUGAAAGAAUGUUCCUGUUAUGCAAACAAGUCACCCACUGGUAUUUUAAUGGCAUAACUCAUGCCCAUGAUGUUUGAUGGGUCGAGGGGAGUGCAAGAACAUAUCAUCAAGAUGAUUGAUAUUGUAAUAAGGUAAAGACCUUGACGUGAUGGUGGAUGACUCUUUCUCAGUGUAAUUCAUUUUGAACUUACUAUUUUCAAAUUAUGAGUAAAUCCAAAUUAGCUAUAACAUUAUUAAAGUUGAGUGGAAUGUUAAUGAAUUGACUAGUAAGCUCGUUCAUGAAGAGAAAAGAAUAAUGAAUAAAAAAUCAAAGGAAGUUAUUCCAUCAACCUUGUUGGUAAAAGAGUUGACAAAGUACUUAGGUGAAAACCAACAAAUUUACAAAGAAAAAUACACAAGUUAAUGUAUCUAAUAGAGAAAAAAGGGAAUGAACGACAAAUAAGUGUCACUUAUGUAAGAAAGUAGGACAAUUCAGAAAGAUUUUAAAAAAUGUAAAGCUUGGUUUGAAAAGAAAUGUAACUUUUAUGCUUUUGUAUGUUUUGAAUCAAACUCAGUUGAAGUUUCUUAUAAUACUUGAUGGCUUGACUUUAGCGUUAAUGUAUUCAACAUGAUGUAGAGAUUCUUUUUUAUUCAAACCACAAAUCACAUGAAGGUUUUAAUUGAAGGCAUGGGGACUUAUUAUUUGGUAUGGGAUAUUGGGUAUCACUUAAACUAUUUUAGAACCUUUUAUUACUUUUAAAUAUUAGGAACUUUAUUAUUAUUUCAAAACUUGAUGUUAUUGGAUUUAAUAUUAAGUUUGGAUAUGAUUGUUUUGGUUUGUAUAAGAAUAGCAUUGUUGUCGGUUCUAGGAAACCUUGUUGAUGGUUUAUAUAAAAUGAAACUUGAUAAUAUUUUUGUUGAAUUCGUACUUAUUUAUCAUAGAAAUGUUGGAAUUAAAUGUAGUAUGCUAAAUGAAAUCUCUACUUAUUUGUGGCAUAAAUGCUUGGGCUAUGCAUCCAAAUAAAGGCUAGGAAAUUUAGUACAAAAAAAUGAUAAUCUAUUGAAAUUAGAUUUUAUUGAUCUUGGUGGGUGAGGAUUGCAUUAAGAAAAAGAAAGCCAAACAUACCAAGAAAGACAACACAAGAAGUACUCGACUUCUUGAAAUAACACAAAUUGAAUCGAGACAAUGUUUAGAUCCAUUUACAAAAUUUCUCUUCAACAAAAUGGUGUUGUAAAAAGGCAUAUUAGACUUUAAUAAAUUUGGUUAGGAGUAUGAUGAACAACUCAUUACUUAUUCAUUGUGGAUACAUGAACUCAAAAUCGUUGUAUAUUUGUUAAACAAGUUCCUAGUAAGAUAAUUCCUAAAACUCAUUUUGAGUUGUGGACUGGAAGAAAACUUAACGUAAGACACCUACAUGUUUGGGAUUACCAAAGGAGAGUAAGAAUAUAUAAUAUAUGUGAAAGAAUAUAUGACCUAUUAAUGAGUUUCUUGAUUAUUUCUUCCAAAAUUUUCAACUUUCUCAAGAAUUUUUCUUAAUCCUCACAAUGGCUCGUGUUAAAAUCACUUCCCAAGAACAUUAUGAGAAAUCUCAACAAUAGAGGUAAAUAAUGAGAGAGUCCUCUAUGUCUCAAACUCGAGUACAAUAGGUAAUAUUCGUAAUGGUAGCUGUAAUAGCCACUACUAUAGACACAUUGUAGGAGGUUGUUACCCAGAAGGCCUCCAUUACUCUUAUCCCUUAUGCCUCCUCAAAGGAGUCUAUGCUUGUAAUGACUAUUGAGGCAGGCGGAGAUUUUUUUUUACCAUGGAUGUUAAAAUUGCAAAGGUUCAACCUUCUGAACAGAUUCAACAUGCAAUUGCUGAAAUUGAUACUUUUUUUUAGCAAUCCACUUGUGCUUGAGCACUCUCCUAUGCUUGAGGAGAAGAUAGAUGCCCUAAUUCAACUUGUUACCAACUAAGGUAAUAUCGUUUCAACCAUGAUGAAACCUUGGUUAAUAAUGCUAGCAAUUUUGAUUUUACUAAAUCUGAUAGUCUUAUUGAUACAUAUGCUUUUACCACUACUAUUAUUGAGUUUGAUAUUGUACGUAAGAGAGUUGGAAAAGAUGCAAUGCAAGAUGUUAGUGCCUUUGAAAACCUUAAUCUUAAUCUCAUUGGGGAUGAUGGUGAACCUGAUACAUAUGAAAAAGAGGUUCAGGUCAUUGCAGUUACUCCUGCAGGGCCCACUUUCACAAGCAUAACAUAAUACAGAAAAGGAAAACUUAUUCUAUAAUGGCUAAAGAAUUUCAGAGUUUUCUUUUGCUACCAAGUCUAAUCAAAUGAAAGCACCCAUUCAACUAAAAGCUUCCAAGAAAAGGAGAGUUGAGACAAAAAGUUCAUCUAAUUCUUCUAAUGAAUUAGAAACUUAAAAUGAAUUAAAAACUUAAACUACCCCUAAUUUUGAUGGAUAUGCUACUUUAAAGGAGUUAUUUGGAGAAAAAGCUAGAACAAGGUGUCUUGAUGUUCCUAAGGUAGCUCAAGAAAUAAAAAAGAAGAAGGUUGAAACGAGUUGGAGUGCCCUCAAUGCUUGCUGUAGCCAAAGCCAUAGAAGAAGUAGCUUUAUUAGAAACACGUGACCAAAUCUUUUUUACUCAUGCAUGCUCUAAGAGGUAUUUUUCUAUUUUGAAAAAUAGCUUUAUUAAGAAACAAAAUAUUGAUGAGUCUAGCUUUGCUGAGCAUAGGAUCGAUUCUUUACUUGAAAAAAUAAUCUAAUGGGAUAUGUGAGUUUUGUCAAGCCAUAUAUCAGAUAGGUGUGCUUGAGUUCUAUAGAACCCCAUUACGUAGUAUAAACGAUGAUUAAAACAAGGUUUUUCACGAAGUUCACAUAAAAAAGAAGUGGUACGAUCCAGGAAGGUGAUGAACUACUAUUUUCCAGAAUAUGAUAGAGCUUAAUAAGUCCUUGGAUACUACAACUUCAAUCAUCACCAACAAUAUCCACCCAACUUAGCCAUUAAAGGUAACAUUCAUGUCUCAUCCUAAGUAAUACUUAUGCUACAUCGUUUGCCAUUUGCAUAGGAAACUGGUUGCUAAAUAGUUAAAGGGAUAUAGUUAGCGAGAAGGCACAAUGCUCAUCAGGAAAGUAGUUGAAAUGGUCGAGUUUGACCUAGGCCAAAUUGUUUAUGAAGAAGUGAUCAAACAUGCUGAAAUAGUACAUACCAAGUACCUUCUACCAUUUCCUUCCUUGAUAUUUCAAGUAUUUUUAAAGCAAAAAUCCCUAAACUUGUUUGAGCCAUUAAGAAUAUUGAGAAACUAGUUGCUAAGUUAAAGCUUUUCCUUAAAUGGAUUGAAGGAAAGCAUGCAUCCAUAGACCUUGUUGAUAAACCAGAAGUUGAAAAACAAAAACUUGCCAAUGAGACUACAUAAGUGGUUCUUGAAGUGUCCAUUGCAACAGGACUUGCGAGUAACCCUACGGGAUUGUGACACCUCACACCUGACCGGGUCCAUAUGUGAGACACCACAGUUGUUGUCGGGGUAACUCAAACUACUUAAUAGUUUCAAUUCAACAUGAGAAGUAAUCAAUAACACAUUUAAAUCAAACCAUUUCAAUAGCUUAAAUUCAUUAUUAAGACUUUUAAAACAAUUCUUAGGAGUUCGGAGGUGAUCGAGAUUGAGUAUGAGUCUUUAGGGGUCGAAGCAACUAAAAACAAGGGAGGGACCCCAUUUUGACCUAGUUAUAUUGGUAAAACCAUUAACUCUCACAAUCGAGUCAUAGCCAAACAUAUUUUGUUUACUGGCUAACUUCUUAGGGGAGAAUUCAAAGGUGAUAGAUUUAUGUCUUUAGACACAAAAGUGAGGUUGUUAUAUUGGGGUAGAACUUGAAUCACUUGUUGUAUUGAGAUUAAAGAUAGUAGAUUAACUCAAUGAGCUAGGCUCCACAAAUGUAAGGAAAUUGAAUUGCAUAAACAAUGUUGUGUGUUCUAUUUUUUUAGUUGUGUUCAUUAUAGUGGCAUCUAUAGUGGCAAUUGUAGCCAUCAUUUCCAUUCAAGUGAUCUAUUUUUCUUAGCAAUUAUCGACUGUUCAUUUCAAUAGGAAUAUAAGAUAACAUGUAAUAGCCCGAUUUUCAAUGAUGUCAAAAAUAGUGGUUCGAGACCACCAAAUCUGACAAGUGAGUUCAUAUAUUUUAUUAUUUAGUGUUUAUGAGCCAAAUGAGAUUUUAAGAAGACAUUUGAAAUAGUGAAUUGUGUUUUAGAAGAAUUUAUUAAGUUAAGUGGUUUCGAAAACGAGGUAUCGAUACCUCGAUUUCAUAAAUUGAGCCGUGAAUAUUUUUAUAAACAUUUUCGAAGUAUCAUUAAGUUAGUAUUAAAGUUUCAUUAGAAAAUUUUAACGUUUGGAUAGUUAAUUAGUUAAAAAGGACUAAAUUGAAAAAGGUACAAAAUUUGUUAAUUAAGGAAAUAGUGAUUAAAUAGCCAAAUGGUAAAUAAAGGAGGACUUAAGUGUAAAUUGGCCUAAUGAUAUGGCUAAGACGGCAUAAGUAUGAAAGAAAUAAGGAAACAAUGUGAACUAAGGGCAAAAUUGUAAAAUUUAAAAAUUAAACAAAUAAAACAACAAUUAAAAGAGUUUAUAGCAAUUUGUUCACAAUUCUCAGCCAAAAACACCAUAGAAGAGUCUCCAAAAUUUGGUUUUUCAUAUUUUUACAUCAUGUGAGUUCAAUUAUUGCUCUUUUCUUGAAUUUUUUAUAUUUUUAAGACUUUUACAAUUAGGUCUAACUAUAUAUUUCAUUAGUUUUUGAUUUUAUGGGUAAUUUUGAAGUUACCAUUGAUGAGUAUUGGAUUUUUAUGAUGAAUUAACAUGGAUUUAGAGCUUUAAUUUUAUCAUAUGAUGAUUUUAUGAAGUGAUUUCAAUAGAAAUUGAUUUUAAGACCAAAUUGUGAAAAGAUUUAAUAUUAGGGUUUGAUACUAAACUUCUAUUGAUCAAAGGUUGUAUAAUAUUUUAGAAUAUUUAGAUAAAUUGUCAAUUGAGAAAAUAAUUAGCUCAUUUGAUAGGUUAAUUGGUGAGGGACUAAAUUGUAAAAAUUGUAAAAAUUAGUGUAAUUGUGCAAUUUCAAAAAUUGAGGGAUAUUAAUUGUGAAUUGAAUUGAAAUUGAAUUAUAUGCUAAUGAAUGAUUAAUUUUAUAUUUUAGAUCAAGAGCCCGUAGAUAAUUGUGAAAAGGGGAAAUUAGCAUAAUAGUCUCUGAACUACUAUAAAUUCCACAAUUUAACCCAGGUAAGUUCACAUGGUUAAACUAUAAUAAUUAUAUUGAAUUGAUGAAUGAUAUUAAAUAUUUAGUAUAUUGUUGAAAAAUGGAAAAUUGUUAAAUUAUAAAUUUGAAGUGAAUAUACGGUUUAAAUGGAACACGAGAUUGAGUACAAUCGUUGUGUGGCAAAAGACAGCAAAGGAAGAAUUGACAGUAAAUUACCCAAGUAAACUGAAGUUCAACAUUUGUUGCAAACUCUCGUGUUUACUUUCCGUUUAGCUCACAUGAGCUUCAGUUAACUCAUAUGAGUUUCAGUUUAACGCUAUUGGGUUUCAGUUUAACUCUUAUUGUAACAUCUCGUUUUUAGUCAAAUUAAAAUAGUAGUUUUGGGAACACAAAUCCGAAGUCAAAAUAAUUAUUUUAUUAUUAUUUUAAUGUCUAUAACAUGAUAGUAUAGUUAUGUGAAAUUUUCGUUAAGAAAUUUUAUUAUUUGAGUGCUUAAUAUGAUAAAAAGGACUAAAUCGCAUAAAAUGUAAAAUUUGUGUUCUAUUAGCUAAAGGUGUCUAAUAGCUAUGAAAUUAAAUGUUUGAAGGGUUUAUGUUGUAAUUAGACCAUUAUUUAUUUGAGUGGACAAAGAUGGACUUGGUUAGGUAAAUUUUAAUUGUUAUACAUUAAGGUUAUUUAAAUAAUUUAGUAAUAAAUGUUAACAAAUUAAAGAAAAAACAAAGUAUUUUGUUGCUUAUCAUUUUAUUUACCGAUUUUGGAAGAAAGAAAAAGCCAUUUUUAGGGCCUAGAAGUUUGGCUAUCAUCUAUUGCUUGUAUGGUACAAAUUUUGAUCUCGUUUUUAAUUAUUUCUAUGUUUUUGUGAUCGUUGCAACUAGGUCUAGCUAGCCCAGGGACUAAUUUGAAAAUUUGUUAAAGGUUUACGAUGUUGUCAUUGAUGAAUAUGUAUGAGCUUUAAUGAUUGAUGGUAGAUUAUGAAUGUUUGAUGAUAGUUAUACAAGUUUUGUUAAGUGAUUUUUAGUAAAAAUGCAAAUUAGGGAUUAAAUUGUGUAAUGUGGAAACUUUAUAGUUAAAAUGUGAAAUAAAUGAAAAAUAUGGGUUUCUAGGGACCUAAUUGAAAUUCGGCUAGCAUGGGUUUUGGUUGAAUUGCAUGGAUUUGUGAUUUUAUGAAAUAAGAACUAAAUUGUAAAAACGUGAAAUAUUAAGGGCAAAAGUGUAAAGUGGCUUUAAAGUGUAUUUUGGAUUAAAUUGAAUAGAUAGGUAAUUAAAUAAGCUAAAUUUGAUAUUCUAUAGAUCAAGAAAAGCGAAAUACGGAAUUAGAUCGGAGAAAGAACAAGGUGUUGGAUUAAUCUACUCGUUUUUCCGUUUUUGCAUCCGAGGUAAGUUCGUAUGUAAUAAGCAUUAUCUUUAUUGUAUUUUAAAUGCUUUAAUAUUGCCUAAAUUAUGAAUUACGACCUUGCGGACACAUUUGACGAAGAUUUGGCAUUAGAAAUCCCGGUUGAAUCUUAGGAACAGAGUAGGAUACAAAUGACAUGUCAUUAGGGGUUACAUUGAGUUGGCUUCGGACCAUGAUAUUGACACUUUGGGUGCGAGAUAUAUUGAGUUGGCUUUAGGCCAUGAUAUUGGCACUUAGGGUGCAAAACUCUCGAGUAUCCGACUUAUAUUCCAAAUGGUUUAACGGGUAUAUCGAAGAUAUGAAAUGGUAAGAAUAGAUACGUAUCAGAAUAUGUAUGUACGGAAACUGUAUAUGUAUCGAACUUAUGAAAGAAGUGAACUCAUGAUUAUAUAGAUGAAUGAAUACAUGUUAACAUUGUGGUUAAUUAUUAUGUGGUAUGUUAUAUGCAUGAUUUGAAUAGUAAAUUAAAUAGUGAGAUUUGCUUAUUAACUUCAUACGAGCUUACUAAGCUUUAUAGCUAACUUUGUUUAUUUUUCGUGUUUUAUAGUGAUUUCAAAGCUAGCUCGGAUUGGGGACCGUUAGAGACUUCAUCACACUAUCCUACUAUCACUUGGUGCUUUUGAACUUAAGUAUAUUGAGUAUAUGGCGUGUAUAUGAGUUUAGUCAUUUUGGUAUAUAUGUUAACUAUGAAUUUAGCCAUUUGAGUUGGCUUGUAAAUGUUAAUAUUUGGUUUUGUAUAUAGCCAUGUAAGUUGGCUUAAUUUUCUUGGUUUGGUUGUGUAUAUAUAUUUGUGCAUAUGUCUUGUGUGUGAACUUGAUAGUGGAUACAUAUGAUACUUAUUGAUAAUAGGUAUUGUGGAUGUCAAUUGGUUGAUGAAUUAAGAUUAAGUAUGCUUGUGAGUUUAGACAAAUUGAUGCAUAUUUGAAAGUGGCUAUGUAGUUGAAUUGGGGAUGUAAAUUUGGUAUAACAUGCAAUAAAAUUUUGUGAUACAUGUGAGACUUAUUGUUGUUGGUAAUAUAUGCUAUGUUUUGGUGCCAAAUGGGUUGGUUUAGGUGUGUGCAAUUUGGGUGACAAAUUAGCUUGGUAAAUAGCCUAUUUUUGUCCACACGGGCAGAGACACGGACGUGUGUCUUAGCCGUGUGUGACACACGGUUAGGUUGUACAGCCGAGUGUCCCUUGGUGUUGAAAUUAAAACCAAGUCAGUAUGCUUCACGCGACUCAACACACGGGCGUGUGACUUGGCUGUGUGGUAUAAGUCAGUAUACCCUACAAGUUUGGCAUGGCCUAACACAUGGCUUGGCACACGGGCGUUUGUGGCCAUUUUUAGGGCACACGGGUUAGUCAUACAGGUGUGUGCGUUGGCCAUGUGACCCAAGUCAAAGAGUUACAUGGGGUAGGACACGGGCUGGGAUAUGGCCAUGUGCUUCCAUUUUGAAUGUCCAAACGACCUGUGACACGGGUGUGUCUUUGGCCAUGUGAGACACACGGGCAUGUGUCCCCUGUAUUUUUGAAAAAUUUUUAAGUUUCAUAAAAAUUUCCUGAGUUGUCGGUUUAGUCUCGAACCUUUUCAAAUGCAUAUUUUGGGCCUCGUAGGUUAGUAUUAGGGACAAUGUUAUUGAAUUUGAAUGAUGAUUUGCUUGAUAUUUGAAAAAGUAUAUGAAAUGAAUGUUUAAUUGUUUCUAUAGUCUGGUAAUACUCCGUAACCCUAUUUUGACAUUGAAUACGGGUGAGGGGUGUUACAUUUAUGAGCUUCUGUUCAACCCUUAUGGGUUUCCGUUUAGCACUUGUGUGCUUCUGUGCAGCCUUCGGUUUUUUGUAUACGAUGUACUCAUAUUUGUAAGUUGUUCUCAGAUUCGGUAAUGUUGGUAAGUGACAUAUGAAAUUGGUAUAUGAGAACUUAAAGUUAUUGAUAGUUUUGAUGUGAAUUAAGUGAAUUCCUAAAUUAAAGUUGUGGUUGGCAGGAAAUGUAAUUUGAAUGAUUUAUUUACUUGAUUUGGUUAUAGUAUGUUCAAUGUUUGGUAAGAUUUAUGUUUAAAACCAACGAACUUACUAAGUUUCAUUAAGCUUACUUGUGUUUUUUUAAUGUCUUUGUAGAUUAACGUGAGGUCGGGGAAUCGGAUCAACACAUCGAGCCACACUAUCCAACUUGUUUUGGUAGUUUUUGCAAUGUAUAUUUUGGUUUAUAUGGAUGUAUAGGGUGAUAAUGAUUUGUGUAAAUAUUAAGAGUCAUAUUUUGUUUACAUAUCAACCCAACUUGUAGCACCCCAAACCCGGCCCAGACGUUAUGGCUGGAUCCGACAUGCCACAUCGAAGCGUUAAAAACAUUUUAUAUUGUUGAUCCAGAAAAAACCUACUUAGUGUUUUAAUUGAUAAUUUCAUUAUAGGUUAAAGUGAAUGGAAGCUGUGCACCAUGUAGGAAACCGUAAAAGAGGUGGUGAGUCCAUCGGACUGCUUAAGUACCAAGCUCCCUUCGGAUCCAAUCCUAGACAUGCAUACCGCCAUUGCCACACCUUAACGUCAUGGAUAUUUCUAGGAAACCGAUUUGAUUAAGUCAUUUUUAGGAAAAGUGAUUAAUUUUGGAAAAUACUUUCAUUGCGGAAGCUUUGCUUGUUGUCGUGUUAUUUUGAAAUCAACUGUUGUUUUUGAAAACGCGCCCUAAAGCUAUCCAAUUUCAACAAUUAAAAUAAGUAAUACCUAUCUUAGUAAUACAUAUUAAAACCAUCAAAAAUAAUUAAGCGGCCUUAUUACAUUUAAAAACUCAAAACUUCAAACGUAAAUAAAAGGAUGUCCAGUUCACCAGAAGAAAAUCAAACUUUCAGAACGGGUGGCCACUCCGAAUUCCUUCACAGCUCCAAGCCCACUAUGGUUGGGGAUUACCUGCGUGGAAGAAAAUAAAAGGGGUGAGUUUGGGGAAACUCAGUGUGUAAGGAAUACCCAUUCAAAGCCCAAGUCAGCUCAAGCCUAUUGGGCCUAAGCCCAUUCAGGUAACAGUGGUACUGGGCCAGAGCCCUUUUCAGAUUACAAUAAACUGGGCCUUAGCCCCUUAUUCAGAUAACAGUAUGGCCCAUAGGCCCAUUUCAAAAUACAUGCAACAUCAAUAACAUAUGCAAGCCCAUUUGGGGAGACUACUCAACCCACCAACCACUACACUCCACCUGUACCAGCCAUACACUCCAUGUGGGGAAUAGCUCAACCCACCCAGCCCAACACUCCACAGUUGCAGCCUUGCUACUCAGUUAACAGUAAAUUGAGGCAAAGCCUCCAGUACGUGGACAAGCCACUUUCAGUACUUCCUCCGUCAAUAUCCCAGUCCCAUGCAUCAGAUAAUAACAACAAGGUAUGCAGUAAAUAACAACAGUCAAACAUGCAUUUAGGUCAAUUUAACCCUAGGGGUAUUUCGGUAAUUUAUCUCUUAGGGGUAAAACUAUAAAUUUUUCACUUUUAAAGGUAUUUCAGUAAUUUAUCUAUUUUAGGGUUUUUCAUGCAUAUUCCUACUUUUCACGUACUAACAGAAUCACGUACCGAUGGUUCUUACCGAAUUGGGCCCGUUGGCCCAUCAUUCUAAUUUUGGCCCAUUAAUCCCAAAAAUAUCGAGGGCACAGAAAUCAUGCACUUUGCAGUCCAAACAUUGCAGCUUACCAAAAACAUUAAUCGAUUUACCUCACGAGCAUUCGCACACUCGCAAAUCUACAAAAUACCGGUUUUCAGCAUUUCGGCUUUUCGGCUUUUGCCGAUCUAGACUAAGAAAGAGGGUGUUAGUUACACACCUGUUUGCGACGAUAUGCUGACGAGAUCCACACACGAACCGCCUACAAUUGGAUUACUAACACGUUAAUCUAACUAUUCAAAUACAAACUACGUAUUAACCCCUUACAAUAUUCGGCCAACCACACCUAUAGAUCAUAGUAAGCUUAUAAGAAAUCAAUAAGUAACUCAUUAACAAAUUUUUGUCAAUGUUUACCACAUAAUCAUAAUUUCACCGCAAGCUGUCUUCCUGAGCAACAGUCAUUAAAUUAUUUAUAACUGGAGCUACGAAACUCCAAAUAAAGUUCCGUUAAUUUUCGCUGAAAAUAGACUAAUAUAUCUUCUAUCCAUAAAAUUUUCAGAAUUUUUGGUUUAGCCAAUCAAUACCAGAUUUUUCUCAAAGUUUCCCUUGUUUCACUGUUUGACUAAUCUGACCACUCUUCAUUACGAAUCAAAUUUAUCAUUGUACAGAAUUCAAAAUAUGUUAUUUUUUAUUUCAUUAGAAACUAGACUCAAUAAGCUUUAAUUACAUAAUUUAUUCAGCUUCUAAUUCAUCUUCCACAAUUUAUGGUGAUUUUCCAAAGUCACAUUACUGCUGCUGUCCCAAGCAGAUUUAUUACCAAAUCACUCUUUCACACAUACCUUGCAUGCAUGUUAUUUAAACAUGUAUAUCACCAAUCAAUCAUCACAUAUCUAUGAUUUUACUUAAGUAGAAUCUCCAUUUCAUCAUUUUAAAGCACAACAUGUUAGCUGAUUUUUCCCUUUAACAUCUAAGGCACAUGCAUGCUCAUUUGUUUGGCUCAACUUCACCUAUCUUCCAUUUUUCAUCAAAAGAACAUGAAACAACAACCAUUUCCUUCAUUUUAAUUCAUGACUAAAUGCUCACAAUACAACUAAAAACCAAAAUAUGCUUCAAGAGUUAAGGUAGAAUCAAGAUGAACUCAUGAACCUCAAAAUAGAAGCAAGGUACCAAGAACUUACCUUCAAUUUUCCUCCUCCUAAUGACCGAAUACUCAAGAGCUUUCUCCUCUCCUUUCUCUUCUCUAACUUUUAGCUAUGAUGAAAAAAGAUGGACAAAACUUUGUUCUUUUCACCCCUUUUUCUUUUAAUAAAACUUCAUAUUUCAUCCAUUUAAUUCUUUAAUACAAAAGACAUGAAAUUCUUAUCAUGAAACAUUUACCUAACCCAUUAUCAUGAAACAUUUACCUAACCCAUUAUCAUGGAACAUUUACCUAACCUAUUAUCAAUUUGUAUCAAUUUGUACCAUAAAUUAUGGAUAUCAAGUGCACAUUUUGUCUACAACAACAUGAUGGCUGGCCACUUAAUGUAAAAUGGGAGGUUUGUCAUGCAAAUCCUCCUAUUUUGCACUCCUAUUUAUUUGGCCACUUCAAUUUAGCCUAUAGCAUUUUCAAACAUUUUCACAUAGGUUCUAUUUCAUAAUUUCACCCCCUUUUUCUUAUGGAACAAAAAUUAACUAAAAUUAUCGGGUUCUAUCUUAAGUUUGGGCUUUCUAGAGGCCCACUAACAUAAUUAAACCUAUGCCAACAUUCACAGGAUUCUCGAAAAUUGAGGCGUUACACAACUUAUAUGAGUAAGGAUAUUUCAUGUAUGAAGCAUGUUUGAAAUGUUCAGAUGAUGGACAAAUAAUAGAUCUAUUGAAGCAUGGUUGCAUAUACACCUAGGUGUAAGUUGUUAAUUUGGUAAGUUAAGAUAUUUGAUUAUAUGUGAUGAUAUGUUAGUUAUAAGAACUUGGUAUUGGCUUAAAUUGCGGGUCUUGUAUGAUUUGUGAAUGUAAAAUUUGUUGUGCAUAGGUUGAUACCAAGAUUGGGUGAGAAAAGUGGCCUUAAAAUGGCCUAUUUUCGUCUACACGGGCAGAGACACAGGCGUGUGUAUCAGCCGUGAAUGACACACGGCCCAACACAUGGGCAUGUUGUCUGGCCGUGUGUCCCCUGCACCUUGAAAUUUCGAAACAGAAUUCCCAGGUUUUUGUACACGGUCUAGCACACGAGCAUGUAGCUUGGCCGUGUGACCCCUGUACCUUACACACGACCGUAUGGUUGGCCGUGUGACUUAAGUCAGAGAGUUACACGGGUAUGGGCAUAGGUUGGGACACGGCCGUGUGCUUCACAUCGAAUGCCCAUUUGGCCUAAGACACGGGCAUGUCUUCAGGCCGUGUGGCUCACAUGGCCGGCCACACGAGCGUGUGUCCCUUGCUCCUAAGAAAAUUUUUAAGAUUUUGGGAAAAAUUCUUUGAGUAUCCGAUUUAGUCCCGAUUCACUUCUAAGGUGUAUAUUGGGCCUCGAGGGCUUAUACAAGGGAUAAUAUUAGUAUCUUAUGACUGGUUUUUGAUAUGUUAUUAAGUGUUAUAAAAUAUUCAUAUUUUAUUCCGUAAAGUCCGAUAAUGCUUCAUAACCCUGUUUAGGCGACGGAUAAGGGUUAUGGAUGUUACAUAACAGUAGCCACCUUCAACGAAGAGAAGAAAUAGAAGCUUCAAGGAUCUCUAACUUUUCUUAACAACUUGUUUUCUUCACAACCAAAAAUUCAUUAGAUCAAACACAUUUCAAUAACCACAAGAAACCAAAAAAAAAAUUUGUCAGAUCUAAGUCAAGGCCAAGAAUUAACACCACACGGACUUACAAGAAUUGAAACAAUUAACAUUGCAACAUGAUGAAACUUAUGAAGAAUUAAAGAAAACAAAGAAUUUCAUGAAAGAAUUAAUGACUUGUUGUUAGGUAAAAGCUCUAAUACCAUGAAAGCAGUUCAUGAAUAAAAGAAAACUUGAAAAUCCAAAAGAAACAAGGUAUGAUCAAAGGGGAAAAUGGGUUUACUUAUUUUAAUAAUCCAACUUUAAUAUCCUCAAUUGAAGAUGAGUCUAUUUAUACAAUUGGUAAGAACUAUCUAGAAAUGUAUACUGGUCUAACAAACUUCCUAAGUAAUUCUUUUCCAUUAGAUUCUAGAAAGAAAUAGUUGUAAUCAGAUUCUAGAAAGAAAAGUAUAGGAUCUUUGUAAUGUAUGUUUUGAUAUGUUUAACCUUUUGAGGUAAUAUUGGUUUGGUACACUUUAAUGCCUUACCAAGUUAUGUCAUUUUGGUCACUUUUAAGUGCUUGUAAAUAAGGUUCUUAUGGUAUGUUUUGGUGGCUUGCAAAUGGUCAUGUAUGGUAGUUAAAUGAACUAGGUUGUGUGUUUGAGACAUAGUCAAAUUGCUUUGGUUUGAUUCAUAAUAUUUGAUACAAUUGUGGUGCCUUUGAAUGGCAUAUAGGUUAAAUGAUUUAGGAUGCUUGAAAUGGCAUGUUUAUGUGUGUUUGAAUGAUGUUUGAAUCCCUUGAAUGUGUGCUCAAAUGGUUUUAAGGGUUAGGUAUGAAUUGAACUUGAAAUGACUUGAUUUUAGCUAAAUUUUUGAAUUCACAAGGUCUGGGACACAGGCUGUCACACGGCCGUGUGUCAUUUGAAAUUUCUUAGUGUUCCAAGUCAGUGAGUUACACGGCCUAGCACACGGCCUAGGCACAUGGGUGCGUGUGGCAACUCAAAGAGCUACACAGCCUGGCACACAGGCGUGUGUGGCAUCUCAGUCAGUUACACGGGUGAGGACACGGGCUGGGACAUGGUUGUGUGUCCCUUGUUCGAAUGUUGCAUGGCCUGGGCCAUGUCAUAAGGCCGUGUGAUCCUUGUUUUCCAAUUUUUGUAACUUUUUCUCAAAAUUCCUGUUUUGUUUCAAAUUAGUUUCGAAUCGCUUCUAACUUAUUUUUAGGGCCUCGAGGGCUCAAUUUUGGGAAAAAUUUUCUAUGAUUGAUUGGUUUAUAAUGAGUUUAAUUUAUUUAAAUAUUAUGAUGUUAAAUGUUUUUUAUUGUACGAUAAUGCUCUGUAACCCUACUUUGGCGACAGAGAUGGGUUAGGGGUGUUACACACCUAUUCUUGUUGUGGCCUUUUUUUUGUUCUCUACAAUACUUUCCUUCCCCAUGUUACCGCCCAUGCAUGGGCCAUGCAUUUCCUUAGCCACUUUAGACGAGACUUGGCCCCAGACGCUAGGAUUCUUGGGAGCUGGAAAAAUAAAAUCCUAUGAUUUAGGGACUACCAUAACCUAAUUGCUAAUCUUUAAAAUUUGGCAUUAUCAUUUGAAGAUUCAACUCCCGAGUUUUUAGCAACAUUAUCCUAUGGCAUUGUCUUUCCUCUUUCACGACGCCAUAGUACCACUGGAUUCUUGAUUUGCCUUUUAUACUCAGCCCUAAUUUCUUCCAACUAGCCAUAAACCACCACGCCAUCCGUUGCUUCCAACAACUUAUGGCAAUGGGAUUCAUUAUGAUCUAGCCUUCCACAAAUAUACCAAAUAAUAAGUAUACGUUCAUAACUAAGGAAGUUCAAAAUAAUCUCCAUUAGGCUCACAAAUCUUCUUCUUUCUCAUUAACAAUUCCUAUCGUCAAGAUGAACCCGGAUCCGCAUAAAAUAAUUCAAGGAAUUCAUGCGCUCAAUCGUGUCAUAGUCAAUACACAUACUCAUAACAUCACCCAAACUCUUUGCCAAACAUAGACCUAAAAAUCAGUAUACAAAAACUCCACAUUUUCCAAGUCCUUCCCUAUCGACAAUUGAUAGAUCAAUAAAAGACAAUUAUUGAAAGACCACAGACCUCCUAAGAUCAUCUUGGUGAGAUCAACUAUAUGAUGAAACUAAAUCAAGUAAAUUCCUGAGUCACUCAAAGAUUUAAUAUAAGCACCUUGAAGAGGUUGUGAAGUGGUCUCUCCGUGACCGUGAAAUUAAUGGCUUACUCUCCCAAAAACUUACCAACUAAAUAUAAUCGUAAUCAAUAUCAUCAAGUAGAUUAUCAUCCGAUUCAAUGACCAAUUUCACCUCUUCUCUAAUAGACAAAUGUUGAAACUCUUCCUCCAUUGGAACAACGGACAAACAAAGCAAACAAAGAAUCAAAAUAGAAGAACCUUGACUAGCAAGGCAAAACCUUGCACUCAAAAUAGCAAAACCCUAGAGAGAGAGGGGCAACACAACGUAUUAAAUAUAUUAGAAGUUGAGAUAUUAAUUUCAUCCUCAAAGGGCUUACAGAAUCGGAUACAUAUGCUUGAAGUACACACGUGAAUAAAUAAAUUCAUUGAUCUAUUCCUAUAUAAAUAAAUCUAAUUAAGAUCACAUAGUUAUGAAACCUUAUUGUAUAAGGUUUGCAUUAAUAAUUUGAACCACUAAAUUAUAAAUAAUAUAUUGAUGAUCAACCUCAGUAAUAUUAAUUUUGCUGAACAGACAUAUCUCAUUUCUUUUGUAAUUAAUGUAUUUUAUAUAUUAUACAAAAUUAUGUUACUUUUAUUUAUGAAUUUUAAAAUUUUACUCUCUCUUUUUUUUCUUUCUAAAUCUAAAAAAUCCAAGACCUCUGACUGCAGGGAUAAACUAUAAAAUUUAUUGAAUGAAGCAUUUAUGUUGCAUUGUUUUACCAUAAUCAUUCCACCUAUGAUCAUUAAAUGUUAUUUAUAAUUUAUUAGAUUCCGAUAUGUAGAUUGUAAAAAUAUACUCAAAAUUAUGUAAGAUAUAUGGUAAUUCAUAUCAUAUUCAAUGUUAGAGAUUAAUAUUUUCAUUAUGUAUGAGGCUAUAAAGGUUUAAUUCUAUUUCUAUUUCUUGUAUUUUUUGAAUAUUUGAAUUAAUCUCGUUUCUUUGGUUGGGUGGAAAAGUGAAGGGAUAAAAGGAGGGAAUAAAAAAGUGGAAAGAAAAUAAAUUUUGAGUGUGUUUGUUUGAGAAGAAAAGUGAGAGGAGAGAUAAUCAUUUUCCAUCAUAGUCCUUCCAAAUUGAAAAGAUGAGAUAAGAGAAAAUUAUAGAGAGGUGUAUGUUAGUUUAAAAUUAUGUAUUUUUCAAUGUUUUAUUUUCUUUCCUUUCGUUUUUCAACUCUACUAAGUAAUUGAUGGAAAGAAAUUUACUUUUUGUUUCCAUUUUUUCUAUCUUUCCUACCAAGCACACAUUCGGAAAGAAAAUUUAUGUUUUCCUUCAUUCUAGUUUUUUACCCCUUCAAAUUUUCAUCCUUCCAAUUUUUUUUUCACUCUACCAAACAGAGCCUUAACUCUAAGAAUUUAAUCUUAGUGCUCUUUUGAUUUAAUAAUUGAAAUCUAAUUGAUAAUUUUAUCAAAGAACUUUCGUUAAAUUGAAUUAUGUGUCAUUUUUAAAACAAAAUGCUUCUGUGACCAAUUUAAAGUCAAGUAAAAGCUCUAUAAGUAAAUAUAUAUUGACUAAAUUCUUAAAAAUAAAAGUAAAGAGAUCAAAUAUCAAAUAUAUAAAAAGUAUUGAGAUUGACAAUAUAAUUAAAUGGGGCUAAAAAUAGAGGUAAAAAGUACAUAUCCAAUACAUUUAUAGCUAAACUUCAUAGUUUCCUUACCUUUUCUAAACAACAUGCCCUAAAAAAAGAUUUAUACACUUGAGUGGUCUCUUUAUUAUACAGAAUUGAUUAAAUAAGUCCAUUUAUUAUUAAAUGGAUCAAUUAAGUUUUUUUACCAUUAAAAAAAUUAAAUAAAAUCAAAUUAGAAUAAAGUUAACAUUUAUUGUUUAAAAAACAUCAUUUACUGUUUAACAAGUUAAUAAUUUUAAAGUUUUUACGGUUCUGCAAAUGAAAUAUUUUGUUUGAAAUUGAACUUCAAUUGAAAAAUAAUAAUUUUCAAGACAUUUUUAUACCGUAAAUAUAAACUCUAAUACAAUUUAAACUUAUUUAAUUCUUUUUAAUAAUAUAGGAACUAAAUUAAUCUAUUUAAUAAUAAAUAAAUUACUCCCAUGACUUCCUAGAUACUUAACUAAAAAAACAUAUUAUGUUUUGUUUGGAUCUGGGGAAAAAAUAGUGAGAAAAAAGUAAAAAAAAUCGUAUUUGGUUCAUUAAAAAAUUAUCCUUGAGAGUGGUUGAGAAGCUCUUAAGUUUGUCCAAAUAGGGUGGUGGGAUGCCAUGAAACCCUUGGAAUCCUUUACCUAGCUUGUUAAGGGUUUAGGGUUCAAAUUAAUUGUGGCUUUGAUAAUUUAGGUGUAGACCCUUCGAUGGUGAAGGUAAUUGUCAGCCCAGUAGACUAAUUUUGGGGUAAAAUAUUUUAUUUAAAAUUAAUUAGGAAAAUAAGUUAAUAUUAUUAUAAAAUAAUUUGACGUUUUUUUUAUAUAUUUUAAAUAGUAAAAUAAUUAUUUUUUAGCUAGGAGUGAACAAAACUCAAUUUCACACAAAAAUUAGUUUUUUUUUUUCUGAAUUUUGAGUUAAUGAAGUCGAAUUAUUUGAGUUAUAUGGUUUUAUGAAUCAACUUCAGUUUUUUAGAUUCGAGUCAAGUUGAAUUUUACAACUUGAAUGGCAAACUAAUGUAAAUACUCGUUGGGUCCCUAUCAAUUUCAAAAACUAGCAAAUUAAUCCCUUAAAAAUUACAAAAAAUUCAAAAUUUUAAUAAAAAUUUCCAAAAAAUUAUAAGAAUAUUUAUUUUUUUUAAAAAAAAAUCUAAAAUGAUAAAUUUAAGACCUUGAAUAACUAAAUUAUCAAAUCAAGUUUAUCGCACUAUAUUAUCUUCUCUUUCUUUUAUUUUUUACUUUGAAAGAGUUUUCAAAGAUCUAUGAUUUCAAAUUUAUGUACUUUAACUUGAAAUUUAGUGACAUUGUCAACAAGAUUUAAAUUUACUCUAUUCGAUUUGACUCGAAAUUUUUUUACUUCAUUCGAUUCGAAAAAAUUUCAAAUUGAAUUCAGUUACUAAAAUAGGAUUUGUCAACUCGACUAACUCAAUUUAUUUUACUCAAUUCGAUUCAACUCGAUCAAAUGCUCACCCUUAAUGACAAACACAAAGGAAUGUUGUGACACUUAUCAAAAACCUUCUAACUAUUUUCAGGGCAUAUCAAAAGCCUUCUAACUAUUUUCAGGGUAUUUUUGUACUUUUCUCCAUCCGAAUCCUACCAUAUAAAUAUGAGCUUUUUGCUAAUUUUCAGCAAACUUUUGAUAUUUUAAUGGAGUAGAAUAGGGUUUAAAGAGUAUUUUUGGAGUGGGUUUAGAUGGACGGUACGUUUAUUUGCAGGUAGUGUAAAAAUAGCGGUGAUGAUGAAAUUAGAUAUUGUAAUGAUACUAUAGUGUAAGAUAAAAAAUAAAUUAAACGCACCGCACCGCACCGCACCACACUGCACCACACCACCCAUUCAAAUUUACCCUUAAUAGUUUUAGUAUUUACUUUUAAUUUCAUUGUAUUCCAUUUAAAAUUUUAUGUAAUAACUCUUCUUAGUUAUUAAUAAAAUAUAGUUUUCUUUAUGUUCUUUGGGCUCAAAAAAUUGGAGACUAGAAGGGAGAAUACAUGGGAUUGAGCUUCAACUUCACCAAUAUUGAGCCUUAACCCCACUUUGUUAUUGACCUUGAAAAAUGGAUGUUGUGGUCGAUAAGAAGAUUUUGCAUGCUUAGUGUCCAUGUUUAGCUAAAUUUUUUAUAUGGCUAAUAAUUUGAAGUGAUUUUGGAUUGGUUUGUUGCCUAUGAUUGCGAUAUGCUUGGUAGUUAGAAUGGCCUAAUGCUUCAUGAGAGUAAAGACUUAAAGUAAAAUUUAAUUUAGGGAAUAUUACAGGUGUCGGCCCUAGUUGAAUUUCCUAAUUAGCACAUUGAGUAUAAGUAUCAAAAGAGUUAGUAUAUGUUAGUUCAAAUUAGCAAGAGCAACAAGUUAAAAGACGACUAUUGCAUUAGAAGCAUAUCAACAAAGCGUUAAAAUGUGUAAGUAGCAUUACCAGUCUUCUUUAUCAAUCAAUUGAGCUUAGGAUCAUCAAAAUAUGCUAUUCACUCUAUUAGUAACUACUUUUAUCAUCCAAUCAAUAGUAAAUUGAGAUCAAUUUAACUAGUUAGUUAAUUAGAUUAUAGUUGUAAUUGUUAAUUCAAUGCAAAUCACAAUCAGUUAAGGGCUGAAUGAAUUAUGCUUAUUGGUUGUUUGAUUGACCCUGUUGAUGUGCGUAGAUACUUAGUUUUUGCUAUUAGUAUUAUACAGCCCAAUUUUGGCCCGGGCCUAAAUAAACCAAACCCAACUAAGCCCUAACCUAAAACUAAAACCCUUGCCCACAAAAUAUUUUCCAGCAAUGAAGGGAGGGAGAACCCUACGCGCCGUACCAGGUCACUUCAGCCCCCCCACACGCGCCGUACCACCCAUGUGCCUCCCUGCUGCCACCAGCGUGCACACCGCUCGAAUCUGCAAACAGAGAAGAAAAGACAACACGCAAGAAAAGAAAAAUAGGCAACAAUAGUGAAAACAAUAGCAAAAAAUAGGGUCUUGUAAAUCGGUUUAAAGGCCAAAAAGAAGCCAAUGUAAAAGGGGGAUUCAUCAUUUAAUAAAAAAAACACAAAAAGCAGAUUCAAAAGAAAAGAAGGUGAUUUUCAGAUCUAGCUUUUUUCGAUUUUGUUCUUUUUUUUUUCUUUUUCUCGAUCUUUAUUUGCUGUAGAUAUAAGAAAAAAUAAAGAAAGAGGGACUUAUCGUAGUUUUGGCCCCCUCGAGUCUUUGCUUGCUUCGUUGAAAUCGGAGUCUAGGCGAAGAUUCUGAGGCUAGGAGCGAGACCCUCAGGUUCAUGGUCGAACGGGGUCAGAUGAGGCCCUCGCGAGGUGGCUGUUGGUCGAACAUAGAGGCAAAACGGCAGUUGAAGGGUCUUCUUUUUUUUUUUUGGCCGAAUGAGGAAGAUGGAGGCUAGGUUUUAUUUUGAUUUUCGAUAACAGAUUGUUGAUUUAGGUGUUUUUGUAUUUUUGAGUUAUGGCUAGCAUGAAACGGCACCGUUUAGGGCCUAUUCCUGCGGUGAAAGGAAUAUUUGCAAGAUUGAUCCCUCCUUUUCGCAUGGUUAUUCUAUUGAGUCAUAUUUGCAUUUUCUUUGUUUUUUAAUUAUCCCUAGAAUUUGCACGUUAUUUCAAUUCGGUCCGCACCUAAGCACCGUGUUUUGGGAUCGGGAUUAUUUCCAGCUUUGGUCCUUGUAUAUUUUCGCGUGUUGCGCGCUGGUCCUUUUUUCUUCUUUUAUUUAUUUUCCCUGAAUUUUUAUUUUAAAUUCGAUGUAGUCCUUUCCUAUUUAUUUUCAAUAUUCUAUUCUAUUUUCGAUUAGUUUAAUAUUUUCCUUGUUAUACUUUCCUUUUACAUUAAUUUAUUUGUUUUAUUAUUAUUACUAAAUUUUCGUAGUACUAUUAUCAUAGUUUUAUAUAUAUAUGCACAUAUAUUUGUCUACUGAAAGUCAUAUAUACAUAUUUAUACCUUAUUUUUACUGUUUAUCUACGUAUAUAUUUUGAUACAUUUUUUUAAAUCAUUUUACUUUUCUUUAGUCCCUCUUUUAUACACUUGCGAUUAUCUUUUUUGAAUUUGAACUUUAAAAUUUCAUCUUAUUUUCAAUCGAGCCCUUAUUGAUGUAAAUUUAAACUUUUUCAAUUUUUUUAAAAUCAUUUUAUUUAUUUCAAAUUUUUAUAUUGAAUUGUUUUAUGUCAC